RNAcentral lists this long non-coding RNA (72222 nucleotides) under Musa acuminata (dwarf banana). Its description in RNAcentral is "long non-coding RNA (MACU_LNC002100)". The record is from RNAcentral. Lineage: Eukaryota; Viridiplantae; Streptophyta; Magnoliopsida; Zingiberales; Musaceae.
CGAUCUCAGGUUCUCUUUUUUUUCCUAUUUCUUUCUUCCUCUUCUGCCUCUUCUUUCACCUUCUCCCUCGGUCACCGUCGACUCCCUCUUUCUUCUCCCUCAUUCACCGUCAACGAUAACGGCCUCAAUCGAGGCUACUGCUCAGUAGCGGGCGGUUCGUGUACCGGUCUGCUGACGGACCGGUACAUACCACCUAGUACAGACCGGAACAUACCACCUGGUACGGGCGAUAUCAUUCGGUAUUGCAAACCUUGGUUUAAAUGAUAUGGUUAAGACCAAGGUUUCAAGUUUUGCAUACCAGGUAGUAAGGACUUGCUGGUCUGGAUUUGAACUGGGAUGCUGACCAGGGCUUUUCGCUGAUUCAAUUUGGAUAUUAAAGGGGGUAUGGCUUAGGUUUAGCAUGCUCACAGGAUGCAGGCUAGGCGUUUUGUGAUUCCUUUUAUGAGGCGAGUUUUUAGUGCUUGUGGGACAGAUUCUCCUUGCACCGGUGCUCAUAUCGGUGGCCCUCCUUGUAUAUUGGUAUAUCUUUCUUAUUGAUGUUUUAGCAGUUGCAGAAGCGUUCAGUUUCUUGUUUAACUAUUGAGGUAUGAAUUCCUUGCUACAGGGUAUUUAAUUCUUUUUAUUUAUGCUGUAGCAUUCAUUUAAAUGAUAUGGUUAAGACAAGCAUUUCAAAGUUUACCUGGAUCAGUAAGUGCUGAUGAUUAUAUUGUGGUCCAGGCUUCAAUGGGGAUGUGGACCAGGGUGUUUGCUGGUUCGAUUGGGUUUAUUUUGUCUGUGGGGGUGGCACCUAUGGGCUUUAGCACUCAUAGGAUACAAACUAAGCUUUCUGUGAUUUCUUUUUGGGGUUUUAGCUUGCAUAGGAUGCGGAUGCUCACACCGAUAUCAAGUGGACCUGUACCAGUCCACCUAGGGACCAGUACAUGUCCGGUAGUUGAGACUUCGAACUGUGGUUAAUACCAAGGAUUUUAAUUUCUCGUGGUUCAGCAUAAUUAUCAGUCCGACUGUUGACUGGGAUGUGGAUAGCUGAAGUCCGGACUGGCCCAUUAUUUAGAUCUUCUUUUGCUGCCUGUUGCUGCCCACGUGCUCGUGGCCUAUCGUCUCUUCUCCUCCACUGCCUGUUUCUCCUUUUCUUCUUUCUUCUUCCUCUUCUUCUACAACCCCCCUCGCCAGCAGAUUGGUAGUGGAUAUGUUCUGGUGUGUCAUGUGUUGGCAUGCUAGAAUGGACCAGACCUAUGCUGGUUCAGCCAUGGACUGGCACGGGCAUGGGUCUGGUACCUGAAAUUGGAUUCCUUGGUUAGGACCUAUUUUUUGUUUUAUCUUUUAUCUUACUUGUAAGUCAGAUAAAUAUUUGUUUCAUUCUAAUGUUUUGCUUUGUGUGUUCUUUGUGGUCAUUUGACUUGUACACCGUAUCAUAUUUUGAAUUUGUUUUUUCAGGAACUCAAUCUUUGCUUUAGAUGGUGUGGCUUGCUUUUUUUUAUAUUGCCAAUUUAGUCAGACAAGUAUUACUUACGUCCUUAUGUUCAUCAUGUGUGCUAGUCCUUUGUUUGCCCUUUUAGUCAUCAAAUGCUGAUAAGCUGGCUUUCCCUUUAGAUUGAUUGGAUCAGAGGUUUUCCUAAUUGAAUGGAACAUGGUUUUGUGAGGUUUUUUAAAAUGAUGUCCACUAUUUGUUCAUCAUGAAGAACUGUAGUUCAGUUGGUUUACGUUUGAGACUCAGUGAUCUGGUGUGGGAUAAUGAACUUUUUUUUCUGAAAGAAAUUGUUUUCCAGCAACAACUUGUUUGGCCUAAUCUGUAAUUUAUUUAAUCAUGUCUCAAUAGAAGUACAUCCUUUAGUUAUGUGAUUGGUUGAUUACUUCUGGCAGACGCUACAAUAGUUUCCAUUGAUUUCUUUAGGUUUGUAUGUGGGAUAAAGCUAACAUUUAUAAUAUUCAGGUCGUAACUUUUUCCUGAUAAAAUAUUUAUAAUGAAGUUAAAGAGUAAUUGUUUUGACAUAAUUGGGACUGCUAAAAGUUUAUAUCAUUCCGCAUAUUAUGGUUGACUCUGGAAUAUUCAUUUUAUGUCUUUUGAUGGUGUCUUUGACUUUAGCUAUUGUCAUGAUUUGAUUUGGCCUUCUUUCACAAAUAUAUAUGGACAUAACUUAUUCUUGUUUAUUUCAUCAUGUCUAGGAGCAUGAGUGUCUUGUAGAAGGACCACUUAACAAUUUGAAGCAAAGCAUGGUACAGUUUCAGAAGCCAAAAAAGGUAUGCUGUAGUCACACACAAAAAGGAGAGAUGGCAGAGAGAGACUUUUCUACCCAAAUCAAUCUGUACAAAUUUAAUCUUUCUAUUUAAGUCUCUGUACUUUGUACCAUUUGUAUAAUGUGCCUGUGGCUGGUUUUAUGGUCAACAGAUUUACAACAGCAGACUUUUCUAUGGGGGUGGUCCAGCGAUGGUUCAGACUGAUAACUAUGGUCCUGUCAGUUCCUCAAGCCCACUUGCUGAGAAGAGAGGUGGGCGCAUUAAAGGUAUGCUUUUUAACUUGGAUUAUUAUUGAGAUGAAAAUAAGAAGUUUUCUGAUAGUUGACAAGAUUAAAUUUGUUUUAAGCAUAGUUGAGGAAUGGUUCAUGCCUUAGCAAUUGAAGCACCACUUGUAUCUAAUGUUGAUUAAUUUUUCUGGGGAACACCUUUUGUUUAAAAGGAGUUUGUAACUGUUUGGUGUAUGCAUAAAAACCAGGUCAUUCUUAUGUCCCAUUUGGCCCUUCAAAUGGCACACAAAAACCUGGUAUGCAUCCACCGGGAUAUCCUUUGCCCUGUGUCCCUCUUCCGCCAUUUGCUGGAGGUCCUCAUUCUCAGCCAUAUGCAAUUCCAACUCGUGGUGCGGUUCAUGGACCUUUAGGGGCUGUUCCACAGGUCCCACAGCCUGGUAAUAGGGGUUUUGGGGCCGGUCGUGGUAAUGCUGGUGGUCCUAUUGGUGGUCACCUGGCUCAUCAGCAAAAUUCCCAGCAAACUUUGGGUAUUGGGUCUGCUUUCAACUUUCCUCCCUUUGAUGAUUCAAAUAGUCAACCAUCUGUUGGUGCUCCAUCAUCUCAGACUGGAUUAAUGACUCAGGUCUGAAACCUUUACCUAUCCAACAUUGGGUUUGCAUGGGUGAUCAAUUCCAUUGUUUUCUAUCUUCUUUCUUUUUCUCUUCUAGAUGCCAGUUCAAGGUCUCGGUCAAGCAUUUCGUGAUGGACUUUCUGUUGGUGGCAUGUCACAGGUACUUGAUGAUGGUCAUCUAUUAUUUGUUUUGCUUUCUUUGCUGAUGUGUUGGUUUUUUUGUUGAUGUUUAACCUUCUUUGAUUUCAGGACUUUAUUGGUGAUGACUUUAAAAGCCAAGGAUCACAUGUUGCAUAUAAUGUUGCUGAUUUUUCUGCACAGGUUCUUAUGUUAUUAUCCUGCACUUCUUUAUAAUGUAUAGUUGUAUACUAAGUUGUUCAAUGUCUUUGGUUUAGGCAGCAUCAUUUUAAGUUUCGCCUCAGUGAUUCUGAAUAUGGCAGAUAAAUGUAUCUUCGACUUUGAUAUUGUAUUUGUUUUUGGUUGUAGCUUUCAUUUGAAUUUCUUGUAUUUCUUAUCAUCCAUUUUGUUGCUGUCUUUUAUUAAAUUAUUGCAUUUGUCAAAGCCAACUUUGAAUCAUGAUCUAUCAUUUUGAAUCUUGGUAUAUAGGGUUCAUAUUCAAUUGGAAUGGAGAUCCAUGGAGUCUAUCAGUUAUCAUUGAUCAUUGUCUUCCAAUGUGCAUCUGGCCAUUAUAGUUUGUGGAUGAAAAAGGAUAGCGUCAUGUUAGCGGAAAAGGUUGACAUGCAUGUUGAUGUUAAUUGCAUCAAAUUGCAUGUGAUGAUAUACUGGGACUUAUUAUUUUGUUGUGCCUCUUUGUGGUACUUGUCAUUAAAAUCUUUGAACAGAGGUAUUUUAGUUGGAUCUAUUCUGAUAUUUUGAUAUGUAUGCAACUUCAGUACCAUAAGACCAAGACAUGUGCAUGUAGUUGAAGUACGUCAUCAAGAAAUAUUAAACUGGAAAGAUAUAUAUAUAUAUAUAUAUAUAUAUAUAUAUAGAGAGAGAGAGAGAGAGAGAGAGAGAGAGAGAGAGAGAGAGAGAGAGAUGCUGGAGGGGAUGUCACUUGUGUUAUCAAUUGGAUGAUUAAAUUAGAGAUGCAUCUGGCAUGUCAUGGAACCAUGAACAUCUGUUCUGUUUGUAAGGAAGGUUUUACAGGGGGACUAUACCAUCAGGCCAUGUGUAUCAGAGUGUUGCACAAUUUAGGAAGCAAAAUGUACAGAUUCAUUUUUCAUCUGUAAUAUGAAUUCUGAGGUUGGAUGAUUGGUGUUGUUAUAAUCUGAAAAGAAUAAUGCAGAUGUGUUUACAUUAGAGCUAGCAAUCUUUGAGGAUACAUCUACUUUUCGUUGUUGCGAAUAAUGACUAGGAAAAGUAACGAGAUUAUUGCCUUUUCCAUUUUGGUGUUGAUUACACUUGCUUUGCCCUAUUUCUGAGUGUAUGCAGGCUAAUUGAGCUGUUUCCAUUUUUACAUCGACUAUACAUCUUCCGGUUGUUGAAUCUGUGCAAGUCUGCAUGGCAUUUGCUGUAAGACUGCCACCAUUGUGUUUGCAGCACUUGGCAUGGUCUUGUAUUUCAAGGAUACAAUUAGUUGCGGGCCUUCUUUAGUCAAAUUAUCCAUAGUGUUUCACUAUGUUAGUUUUCAUUGUUCCAGCUAAAUGCAACAUAUAUUAAAUUGAAAUUGCCAUGACCUUUCAAAGACUAUUGAAGGUGCAUUCUGUUUUGCUGGUAAACUACUGCAAAUGGGUCAACCUGUGCUGUUGAACAUGCACCACCAAGGCAAUUCUUGUUACUGUUGUAUGUAUUUUCAUAUUAUUUACUGUGCAACUUGGUGGAUUUGAGUAGAUGUCAUUUUCAUCAAUUUCUUCGGGGUUUAUGCCAUAUAUUGCAUUCCCCCAUGGAUGAGAUGCACUGUAUUGCCUGUAUGAAUAAUUGAUUUUUUAUUUUACUUGUGCUACAUCUCAUUUUGCUCACUUGACAGGCUUCUCAAAGUGGAUUUGGUGUUGAUUAUGUCUCCCAAGGUCCUCAUGCUGGUUUCCCAGGGAGUUAUUUAAAUCAGAGUACCCAGCCAGGAUAUUCCCAUUUGGGCACUGGAAACGAUUUUUUGUUUCAGGUUGAUUAGCCUUAAAUUGAUCUUGUAUUUCUGCUCCAAAUGAUUGCAUUCCUUUUAACAUUUUGGCUAAAGCAUGAAACAUUUUAGCAGGAAUACAUGCCGCAUGGAUCACAAGGUUUAUUCACACAAGCAGGAUUCAAUGAUCCAUCACAAGAUGAAUCUUCUCAGAGCCACUUUGGCAUGGGUGGGCCCAGUUCUCUUCAGUCACAGGUUCUAUUAGGAGCUUGUAAUUCAUGCUCGUCAAGAUCUAUCACAUUUCUAACAAUGAAGCUUCUGCAGGCAUUGCUAAACCCUCUGUAUUCACAACCCUUUGCUCAUUAUAAUGCUCAGCCUCAAAAUCUGCAGUCUCCACCACAGCAAAAUCAGGGCUCACCCAAUCAGAAACUUCACUACAAUGGCUGAGCUGCACUGGAUUUAGGAGUGAUGGGUUACAUCCUUUGCACCCAGCUACAGUGGUUGUGCCAAGUCAUGUCUUCUUACAUUGACAGAUAACAGCUCAACCUUCUUUUUUUGGCUUCUCGCAGUCGCAUAUGGUGCACUAGUUUUAAGAUAGGAGUGGUGCAUAUGGAGAUUCGAGAUAGCAAUGGUGCUGAUUGUGCCUGAGGAGAGGAUUUAGCCCAUACUUCCAACUACAUUUAUUUUUUUUCGGAAGGAGUUGACCAUUGGGAGAAAGCAUCUUUUGCUUAUAUGAGGGCUCACAGCAAUUGGUGCCUGCAUAUUGUGAAGAAAGCCAUUCUGACGGUAAGUGAGACAUUGCGCAUACAUGUUCAUAACCAACGCUAAAGGCUCCAUUUUGAAGAAGUGGAGUUUUCCUCCACCCGGAUGGUAUGACGAGCAAGUGUUGCAUUAUGUACAGCAGUGUUCAAAGAUGACUGGCCCGUGCUUGCCAUUUGCAUGGUCAGAUACGGAUCAAACUCACGGCUUGUCCUUUGUUGGAAUUUAAUUAUGAAAUUAGUGCAUAGUGUCAUUGUUACAAGGCUCUGUUACUAAGAAAAACUUGCUUUACUUGAAGUGUGAGUUUGGAGUUUGCUUGAUUUAUAUGAUUUUGAUUUUUAUUCUUGUGGUAAAUUGAUAUUAUAUGGUUUUAAUUUUUUUAAUGAGCACCGGGCUUGCUUCUCUGGCUUUGCUAAGCUUCAAACCUUAAAGGAUUGAACACCAGACGUCAGCUAGCUGCUGGCAGUCAGUUCUUGUGGUGAUGAUUUGAGCUGUUCAUGCAUGAAGCAAUUAGAUUAUAUGCUGGCAGUCAGGGGCUUAAAAGUGUGGCAUCCAAGUUAUGGAACGGGAAAUGUUGGCAUCAUGUGGUGGUUACCUUGUGAGCUGUGGAGGCUGCAGUGGAUGGGAAUUAGUAAAGAAUUUCAAUUCUUAAGCUGAUGAAUACUGAACUCUGAAACAGCCAACAAGGACUGUGCGAGUUCUGCUGAUGCCCAUCGGGUGAAGUUUUGAACGGGAUUGAUGCUUUAAGCCGAGAAGAAGCAGUUCGAGUGUUGGCAAUGAGCAGCAGUAUUCAUUCUUCACUUCCAAGUCCAGUUUUCGGGAGCAAGACAAGGAAGAUACCUGUUUCCCUUAGCGCAAGUGAAAUUACAAGUUUUCAUUUAAGAAUUGAAUCUAGUGUGACUAGUAUAUAAGUCUGUAAAAACACUUCCCUUACUCUCAGGUCUCUCUUUGAGCUCCAUGAGCGCAACAUUAUACGUUGCAUGUUGAAUUACGAGUUUCGCUUUUCUUUUCAGAAUAAAGAUAAUCUUCAAUGACAUGAUUCACUUCAAGUGGAGUUACGAUUGCUUGUUGGGUUGACAGCUUUCAAAACUCAAAAUGAGGGCGUUUAUGAGUUAAGGGAAUUGAGUUCAGUGUUGCGCGUUAGGGAAGCUUCCCGUUGCGCAAAGGCGCUGAUGCUAUUUAUUGUGUCACGGGGCAUUGGGUAGAUAAGGGAGUAGAGUCUCUCGUUUAUUUCGUCUAAUGUUAUUCUUUCUUUUGCACUAUAUGUAUUAUAUUCUUUAGUUGGGGAACAAGCAAUUGGUAUUCCAUAGCUGCUGGGAACUGGUAUUUAAACAGCUAUUGGAACCAGUAUUCCAUAGCUUAUGGAAUUGGUAUUCAAUAAAAGCACUUUGUUUGUGUCGAUUAGUCUGAACGACGACUAUGCUCAGAAUAGGAUAGUAUUUGAAUAGUUAGAAAUAGGGUCUUAGGAGAGCCUAACCCCAGCCUCAUCCUGGUGAUUAGAAGAAACAUCUCUGAUCCUUCACCCUAAUGUGACACCUUCUCUACCAGAAGAGUUGUAUUCUUAACAGGUUCAGUCGACUAGAGAGCGAGAUUGAUUAUUCAUCUUCUGGUAUGGGAAAGUUGUCCCCUGUACUAAUUAAUACUAACCAAACUCUUAGUUUUAUGGUCUUCAAGUCAUCAUUUUACAAUACUUUUAUUUUAGGCUGGUUACCAUUACCUUUUUUACUUAGAAGAAUGAUCCGAGCAAGGGAAAGCGUAGUGAGUGCACCUAAUGCGUCUAUGCAUUUUCCAUUCUUUUUAUUAGAUCAGAUGAUGAAUUCAAUAGAAUCUCCAAUCUCUAGUGGUGGUGGCGCGAUGUCUGCUGUCUGACCCAACCUCAAACUCUUUCUUGCCUACCUAUCUAUCUAGCUAUUUGACUCUUUGGCCCCAAUUAUGUAGGUGGUAUCAUGAUUUUUUGAAGAGAUUGAAUUCCUUGAAACUUUGAUAUUAGCCAAUAGUAAUAGAAAUGAUAAUUAAUAUCUAUAUGAUCCACAAAAAUACAUCGGCCCAUAUAAAUGAAAGCGAUCUUGGUCCAUGGAGUCCUAAUAAAGUAGGAAAUCAGUACACUCACUCUCAUCUCAAUACACUGCUUAUUUAGUAAGGAAAGGCGUGAAAGCCGUCUUUCUUAUCGUUGACCAGUGUUAUGACAAAUCAACUAUUGAAGGUACGUACCCUAUGGCUCUUCUAAUGCAUUGUUUAAGCCCUACAUCUUAGUUGAGCACUGUUGUAUUGCUUGUUGAAUUGAGCAUUCAAAGUGUCGAGUCAACUCAAAUCUUAAUUUCUUCUUUCGAGCACAUAACUUCUCUUACAACUGUAGCCAACUUUUGAACUAAUCCUUCUCAUUCUGAUCUCGGUGCCAACAUAGAUGAAACUUGAAUCGGAAGUGGUCACUUGAAACAACCAUCCGAUCCGGAGCAAAUCCUGUUUUCAUUGAUUUUGAAGUUCAUAAUGUCAUUUCCGAUUUCCGAAUUCUAUUAUCGACACGCUUCUUUGAUUUGUCAGUUCAUAAUGUCAUUUCAAAAUAAAAUCGAAUCUAUCUCUCGUCUUGCUUGUCUCGGUCAGAUUUAGUAGUAUUCGUUGAUGUUAAGUUCAUUGAGUUUGACUUUUCCUCUAAAGAAAUGAAUUAAGUUUGACUUGUAGCCGAGAAUGAAUCAGUUGUUAAUAAUUGGCUAAGGGCAAAAGCACAAGGUGGAGUUCUUGUUUCAUCGACGAGAGAAGAAGCGUGUUAGGCUUCUUGUGCUUGCUUGGAUGCUUUGAUUAGUCAAAAUUAAAUAUGUUAAGUCAUUAUUUUGAUUAGUCAAAAUUAAAAUAAUUAAAUUAAAUGAUAUAAUUAUUAUGAAAAUUAAUUGUAUGAAUAUCAUCAGUCAUAUUUCUAACUUAAUGAUGAGAUAAAUUAGGAAUAUGAAACUCUUGAGGCAUAAUUACAGAUUCAUCAAUUAUGAAUAUAAUCAUAAUUGUAGGUUCAUAAGUUAUGAAUAUAAAUAAGGCUAUGGUCACCGGUUAUAGUAUCAAAUAAAGUUUCUCUUCACCCGUCAAAAGAAAUCUAAAAUUCUUAAGGAUACUCUGUAGAACAAAUCAUCAAUUCAUUUAGAAAAUACUUUGAUGAAUUCAUCAUUUAUGUUACGUGUUAAUAUGUUUUAUAAUUAUUAUAUGAUUUCAUGUAUAUUAUUGUGGAUCUAAUAAGUCUUUAUAAAAAUGUUCUAAAAUUCGUUUUUGCUCUUAUAAAACAUGUUUGAUCCAUAUUUGAUGUGUUAAAGAACCAAACAAAUGAACCAACAAAUCUUGUUUUGUAUUUAUAAACCAUGUUUGAACCAAAAUUCAAUUUUUUGAUAUGUUAAAAAGAUCCAACAUAUUAUGCUUGGGUGCUUAUGUGAGAUCCAAAAUGCAUUUGAACAACCUUUAGAGUAGGAAAGAACAUAGGAUUGCUUCGUCAAGUACAAAAUCAAAGAAUCAGUUGCAAGCGGAGCGAGAAGGAAAGUCGAAGAAUGAUUUUGACUUCGGAUCGAGUUGUUAUGCACUAACAGGAGGAGCAAAGAGAAGAAAGAUCAGAAUCAAGAGAAGAAGGAUGAGAGGCAACAAGCAGCAGGUAAUCCUCAACUAGAGGUCAUGCACUGACUGACUGCUCAAAUAAUUAAGACUUACUCCUCAUAAGCGUUAGUGAGCACUUUGUAUUGCUUCUUCUCCGUUACUCUAAUAGAGAGAGAAUAUUUGAUAGCUAUCUAUCUACCAAACACCUUAAGACUUGACAGUUAGCUCUGCUCUAACUUAAUCUACAGCUGGCUCAACAAGCAAAGGUCAAAGGUCAAAUAGACUACUCAGUGUUACACAUACAUUAAGUAACCAAAGAGCUUAUAUAUACAUACGAUUACACUGAUUGACAUGGUAACUCAAUUCUUAUAGCAAAUUCCUUAGUCACCUUCUUGUAAACAGGUAGUUGAUAAUUUGCUGUUGACUUUAGCACAAAGUCAACUCAUGAAUCUCCUUGUUGUAAAAUGAAAAUAGAACUUGUUUCUUGUUCCGUUUCAACAACUCCCUUACUUACGUCCUUAACUUGCAAGUUACAUCUCGACUACUGACACCCCCAACUCAAUUAUCUUCUUCUCCCAACUCUCCGUGGGGUUGGUUCAAUGGAAGGAAGUUGACAGGGUAGAAUAGACAUGGACGAAUCUGAUAUUUCUCUAUUCCAUCGGUGUCAUCAUAGUUCACCAGCGAUCUUCGGAGACUCGGGUCACGCCGACUUUGGAAUCAACCCCGAUUUGGUACCAUACCUGCACUGCUUCACAUUCCCAAUCAAUCCACAAAACUCCGUUCCGUUGCGAUAACCACGAAACAUAUCCAAAUGAAACAGAAGAAAUAAAGAGAGUAGUAAAUGAAUAAGAACGAUGGUCCGAUCUUGUUCCUCAAGUUUCGGAACAUCUCGGGCUCUCAGAUCUCAGCCGUCCAUUUGGUUAGUGGCGGCGCCGACGGCGUCACUGUAGAUGUGAUAACGGGGAAACCCAAACCAUUCCAUGGAAGCUUAAGUGGCCGCUGGCGAGUGGGGUUAGACGAAAGGGAGGGAACGAAUUGACGACUAUACCCCUGUUACCCACAUGUAGAGAGCAGCCAGGCCGCCACCGCUGUCGUCGUCCUCCUCCUCCUCCGUCUCCCGCCUCGCGGUUCCCUCCGGUUCCGCGGAUUCCCGGCCGCCGCCGUCGUCGUAGAGGUGGCUCCAACGACCGGAGAACCGGAACGAAGACGAUGAGAGCCGGUCCACGUAGUCCAUCAGCCACCCCCUCGACCCUUCGCCUGACGGCCCCGCCGCCACGGGCCCUGAGGCAGCGGAAUCGGCGUCCUGUCGCCUAGGUAUCCGAUGCACUACCGCCUCCACGUCCUCCUCUUCCUCGUUCAUCAUGUGGUCGAACGACGAGCCGAUCGAGUGUGUUUGGUGGCGCGACGACGACGACGACGACUGCGGUGUAGGAAGGGACGGGUUUCUCCGGGAUAAGACGUCUCCCGGGGUCCGACUGCUAGCGCUGCCGAUCUCGACGUCGAAGCUUCGGGACAUGGGGGGGUCCUCGCAGGGCGUGUGCGACGCAACCGAGGGUAGAGGCGGCGGCGGGAGGGUGACUGGUGCGCGGCAGAGAGGGCAUGAAGGGGAUUUCCGGAUCCAGGGCUCGACGCAGCCGGAAUGGAAGGCGUGGCGGCAGGCGGGAAGCAGGCGUAGGUCCUCAUCGGGGCCGAAGGGCCGGAGGCAUACGGCGCAGUCCGGCGAGGAUUUGGGGAGGGCGGCGAGGGAGGAGGAGAGAUUGAAGAUGGGGAGGGAGUCGAUCAGCGCCGACUUCACUGGAUCGGAGCUCGGGUCAGCGGUGGACGUGACAGAGGCGGAGGCAGAGCGUGAGCUGACGAGGAGCGAGGCCGCAGCGACGGAGGAGGAUGAAGAGGAGGAGCGGCGGGAGGAGAAGAGGAGUCGGAGGAUGAGGUGGAUAGACACGGAGGCGACGCAGACGCAGGCGAGGAUGGCGGCGAUGAUGAGGAGGCUCGGGCUGAAGGAUAGGGAGGAGGAGGAGGAAGUGUCAGAUGGGAGGUGGUUGGGCUCCACCGCCAAUGGAAAGGGUUGGAGAAGCAGUGGCGGUGACGGAGAAGGCAAAGAGGGGCCGUAGUCCAUGGCGAAAGUGGGGAGAUAGCCUCUUGGGCUUUGGAAGAUAUGCGUGAAUUGUACGGGAAGCAGCCGCUUCUUUCUCUCUUUAGCUUUGCUUUGUGUUUGCUACUUUGGCUUACGUUGCUUGUCGUCCCCCCUCCUCCUCACCCACCUCUCACUGACUCUUUGGCUACCUCUCUACUUUGCCCGUUUCUUCCCCUCUCAUUGCCGUAUACUUAAAAGUUACUUCAUUAUAAGGAAAAACAAUAAAAUAUUUCAUAUUUUAUCUGAUACUGUAAAUUAGUGACUUUAUUUUUUCUUGAAAGUGCAAAAAAGGGCUAACUUAAGAUAUUAUCGAUAUAUUUUGGAGCUUCACAUUAUCUAAUUCUAAUGUAUGCACGACAUCAGAAUCAAAAUGGAAACAACUUUGUAAUCUAUACAAUAUGUCACAGUUCUAUGUGAGCAAAGUUUAUGGUAACACUCAAAAGAAAGAGAAGGUUGCAGACGCUUGUUGGAGAAUAAAGGAUAAGGAGAAUCACCUGUCAUUACAGCAUCCGUCCAUCACAUGAGAUGCAAAUGACACAUGAAAGUCUCUAAUUGAGAUUGCGUAUCUUUUAAUCAUCUGUCACUGCCACCUUAGUAUGUUUCUGUCCCCAUAUAAAAUUGGCAAUUCCAGCUCUAAAAACUUACUUUUUCAUGGAUCAAACUUAAUUAUAUUGCAGCGGAAUGAGCAAAUGUUUAUGAUAGUUUAUUUCUUUGUCAAAUUCCUUCCAAUCUUGUUUCAAUCAAGCAGUACCAAUCAUGAACAUCCAUACUUGUUCUUAUUCUAAUUGCAGUAUUUCCUUCUCUUUUUUAGAUUUUGGAAAUAGAUUUUGACCAAGCUUGAGAUUGACUAAAUGAAAAUAAAAAACUUCAACCUACACGUGAAAGAGAAUGGAUGAAAAUGAAAAAGGAUUAAUUCUCCUAUCAUUGGAUUCCAAAUCUUACAAACAGUAACACCUGCCUAAAGCCUGCAAUGUACACAAUCCAAUGGUCGUAAGCUACAAUGACCAGUGAGUUCCGCCACAGUACUACUCCAUCCCCUUGCUUCUUGACCGUCAACUUCCUUGUAAUAGGAUCAAGUGAAAGCACAGUGAUAUGAAUUCCACUGAUAUCUCUACAUCAUCUGCAAGUUGGCAGUCAUAAACAUACUCAGCAACUGUCCAAAGGUCUCUGUGGAUGAAGCAUGGAUAGGGAUGUAUGAGUAGAAAAAACCAACUGCCUUGUUCCCUCGUCUGAGGGGUGAUCUCUUUGUCACUGGGCCAUGGUUGCUUUGUCUGCUGCACUGGCUUGCCAUGUUUUAUCAGGAAGAGCCCAAGGGUUCCACUGCCAACCUGCACUGUUAGCAUCAGCAACUCCUCAGAAAUCCUAAACCAGCAGUGCAUGUUACAUGCAUCCUUGCAAGGUUAAAGAGAUGAUCCUGUUAGCUAUUACAUCUCUGUAAGUCUUCAUCGACACGUUUUGUAGCUGCUUAUACCUUCUGUCCUUUUUAGAGGAUGCUGUUCUGAAAUGUAGGGUAUGGGCGUCCAUGUACACUGUUUCAGCUGCUGCAUGAGUUUGUUUGUGUUGGAGUCCUACCUAUGGCUUCCACUGUGUUGUCCCUUGUCAGACCAAGGCAAUUCUUGCCUGAGGAAGGAUGAGUCUGUAGGCUUAAGGCAUCAAAAUACCAGCUAAUUAAAAUGGUAAAGCUCAAUCCCAAAGGUAAGCUUGAAUUAACUGUUAUGAUUUCUGUACUCACAGUAGCACAAUGGUUUCCAAGAUUAAACACAUAUUUUCUCUUGUACUGCAUCAAUGGAUGGGAAGACGUUUGCCAGCCAGAGUGAAGCAAUCACUGUUGGGAAAAUAGUGUAAAAACUAAAAUAAUAAAACCAAAGAUCAAACCAACUGAAAUAAUAACACCAAGACAUAACGUUAUAAUAAAAUUCUUAAUUGGUUAAAGAGAAAUAAUAUCCACCGACCAACAAAGGGAAAUAAGAUCUUAUCUCUUGUAGUAAGAGCCAAAAAACACUCACAAAAGGGGAAAAACUAAGGAGGAACCAAAUGAUAUGAUCUUUCUUUCUCUCUAUUCCUCUCUGCACUAAAUGGAUUGGAUUGAGUUCCCCCUCUACACAUCGGUGCCUUGUUUACGUACUAGAGGGGAGAGUACUCCUACAUACACAUGUUUGCUCUAAAGAUCAUAUCAGUGAGGAUGUUGCAACUUCCCACAUCGCGUCCACGCAUGGAAGGUUGCAACCUGCCCUCGUCCCCGCGGGUGAAACUAUCCAAUCGCACGGACAUGGUUGUAAUUGCCUCCUCAUCCUUUUUAUUUUAUUUCUUCAUAAUCUCUCACUAGACCACAAGAGAAUAUGGUCCACGUGAAUUUGUCUUAUAAUAUUUAUUUGUUUUGUCAUAACAUUCAUUAGGUUGUCCAUUGUGUUGAUCUUCUGCAUAUCCAUGGUUUACUGUCCGUCGUUACUUCUCGAAUAAAAUAAUAUUGACCUUCUAUAUGUUUUAUCAUAGAAUGGAAAGCUAGAUUUCUCUGACUUUUAUAAUAGAAGGAAAUAUCCUUCUAUUUAUACCCGAAUUUUUUCUAUUAACCUUCUAAUCCAUAUCACCUCCUUAGCAUACUUGUGUAGCUGCUAUAUUUUAUACUUUUGUGGUAGAUAGAGCUAUCACAAUCCGUAAUUUUGAAACUUAGCUCACUGCUCCUCCUACAAGUGUAAACACAUAGCAGGGAGAGAGAUAUAUUAAUCAAUAAAUUCUUUUAUUUUUAUUUUUUUUAAUUAUUAAGAACUAUUCAUUUAUAUGGUAUAUGCUGCAUGGACCAAUACGUAGGCAUGCCUUUUUUUUAAUAUUUGCCUAAAAUAUUGUAAGUCUUUGAUUCAGAUUUCAUGACAAAAAAAAAAAAAAUCCAAGGAGAGAUAUUUUGAUCAAGAAGUUCCUUUAAUUUAUUUUUAAUUAUAAUAAACUAUAUUAAUUUUUCCAUUUCAACUAUAUAUGGUAAUGAUUUGGAUCCUCAACCAUGAUCAACUUAUUGUUGUUAUUGUACGAGAAAAGUUAGGGGGAGACUUAAAAGAUAUCUUACUAGAAAUUAUAUACAAUGAUUUAAAUAUUUUUAAUUAAAAAUAUAAUUUUUUAUAGACUUUAAUGAUGAUAAAAGAUUCAUAUAUCUAAUCUCAAAUAAUUAAUAUCUUAUAAUUUUAUUGAUGUUGUUGAAUCAUGAUUUUACUGUUCAAAUUAUUGAAUCUCGGAUUUUGAUGAUAAAACCAAUUGAAAUUGUUUAUAAUUUGAUCUACGUUUUGAGUAACGCAUGAAGUUUUGAUAAGAGGAGAAAAUUAAAACAGGAAGAAUCAUAUUGGGCUGGAGAAAAAUAUGUCAAAAGAUUGGACGUCACGUCGAAGGAUCGAUUAACAUAUCGGUAAAAGGCUUUGGACCAUGGGUUCCGGCAUCGAGUCAAGAAGAGCAGAAAUUGCGCUGAGAAAAUCGUAGUUACGGAGGUCAGCUAGCCGAUUGGACAAUAGGUCACAAGAGAGGAUGAUGCACCGAAGAAUCAAACGAAGCGUUAAUGAACCAAUGAUAUGCCCGACAACAUUUGAUUCAAACUUUAUAAUAAUUGUCUAGAUCGAAGUAGGUUUUGAGUGUGCAGGAUUAACUACGAUAGCGAUCAAGUCAUAAAGCAAAAUAAAGUCUCAGAGUCAAGAACGAGACUUCGUUGGGAGUUCGAGAGUUUGUUCCGAACGUUUGUCGGAAGUUCUGUCAGAAUUGACCAAGAAAUCCAGAAGCUUGACAAAGAAGCUCGUCGCAACUCACCAAGAAGAUCGUCGUGAAGUCCAAACAUUACUGAGAGAUCAUCGGAAGUUCGUUAGAAGAAACCUAGACUUAUCGGACUUAUUUAGCUUAGUGUUUGCCUUAAAAUUCAUAGUUAGCACAUAAUUGGGUUGGAAUUGGGCCAAUUCAAUUAGGGGCCAAUUGGCCCAAGUUUGAGUUGUGUUGGGCCAAGUGAAAGACCCAAACAAUGACCCAACAAGUGGAAUCAUCAUGGCAUAGUCUCCGAAAUCGUAUCAAGCGAUGGUACCGCCCAGCACAGGUAAUGGUACGGUUAGGACUCGAAAAAUCUGAGAUGAGACCUUUUUAGACUCCAAGUUUAAAUCUACUUGAGGCUUAUAAAUACCCCUCUCAUCUCUAGUUAACAUACAUAAGCAUAGAGAGCUUAAAAGUGGAAAAAUACUAUUGCAAUCACUUGAGAGAUCCCCUCCUCUAAUUCUAAGUUUAGAAUUCUAUUUAGGGAGGAGUGAGUGUUUGUAAAAGGUUCUCCUAAACACGUGAAAAGGAGACGAGGGGUGUAAAAUGGUAGUUGAUAUUCGCCCAUUGAAGGAAGAUCGUUAAUGGAUGUCCGUGGCCUCGACGGAAGGGGAAUCGGUGAAGUAGAUGUAGGUCACGACGAUCGAACUAUUAUAAAAAUCUUAUUUAUAUUUAUUUUAUAUAAUUUACCUUUACUACAAACUAUAUUUCUAUACGUUUUCAAGUUAAACAUAUUAUAGAUACGGGCUUUGUCAUAUAUCGGAUUUAAUCGAACCUGGACUUGAUCCUAACACAAAUUUGAUACUUAACUCUCUUCGUAGAUAAAUAUUUAUAUAAUAAUCUAUUAGAGCAAAUGAUCUGAAUCUAAACCCAAUUCAAGUAAUUGAUUUAAGAUAUUUGAACAUAAUUAUUUUUCUAAUGCGGGCGUAUCUAAAAUUUGAUUAAAAAGUAAAUUAAUCCGAAUAAAAAAGGAAUAACAUAUCCUGUAACCCUCCCUCUCCAUCAAGAUGCGUGCGGCCAAUCCCAUACAAAUCGUCAUAUCGAUGGUAUUUGGAACACUGCACAGAUUUAACUGGUCAUCCCCACCACCGACCAGAUCUUGUCGGACUUCGUUUUCCACCGCUUGUGGACGCUUGAAUCACGCUCAUGUCGGUCAAAGUCAUCUUCGUUUACUCCGACUCACGAGAGAAAGGACUGCAGAACGAGCCGAGUCAAAAAAGACGGUAGAAUAUUUUUUGUCCUCCGGACCGAAAUCAUGAGCUACUUGGAAUUGAAUGAUACUUUUUGUUAGAAACGUGGCGGAGUUAAAUAAGAAUGAUGGAGGAAAAAGAUAAACUGUUAAUUUUAUUAUAUUUAAAUAUUUAAAUAUCUAUUCACAAUCACAUCAAAACUAUAUUCAUAAAAGAUAAAAACUAAGGAGUGAAUGCUAUUUUUCUAUUUGUAAGAUAUUUUGAUAAUUUUAUAGACAUAUCAAUAUUUAAGGAGAAGAUUUGUUUCUGAAAGAUCGAUAUCGUUUCCAAAAUGUAAAAUUCUACCUUCAUCCAAGAUUAUCAAUUUAGAUCAUCUUUGAUUAAAUUAAGCUUAGUCUCAAUACUUCCCAUUAAGGUUAAUUUUUCUUUCAUUCAAUGUACUAAGAAAUGACUUGGUAUAUAGAUAAAAUAAAAUUUUAAGUCUUGACAUCAACUUCAUUUGUAUUCAUGUACUCUCGGAUAAAAUAAAAUUUCAAGUUAUUAUGUUUUGUUUCUUUCGUGAUACACUAAGUUAUUUACUAGUGCAACGAGGGAUUUAUUAUCGAUAUAAAUUUAUAUUAUUUUUUAUUUGAUGUGUUUUGUCUUUAGCAAGCCUUUUAACCAUAUAGCAUGACAGAUGCCAUAAUAUAUUCAGUUUCACAAUUGAGAGAUAUAAAAUACAAAUAUGGAUGUGUUGCUUCAAAGCGUUUCUCCUCCCAAUUAUUAUCGGAAUAUUAAAAAAAUUAAAAUUAUUAGAACUUGAAUAAAAUAAUCAAUGGGAGAGAAUAUCUUUGAUAUAAUACAAAAUCUUUUUCAUAACUUUACAAUGAGUUGAUUUAGGCUCGUCUAUGAAUCAACUCACUAAUCCAACGUCAUAUAAAAUAUCUGAUCUAAUAUAUGUCAAAUAUCUUAAGCAGUAACUAAACUCUUAUAAAAAGUUACCGCUAUUGUUUUGCCUUCAUCAUCAUGACACUAUAAUCCAUAUUGGGUUGCAGACAGUCAACGAUUGCAGUCAGCUUCCACCAACGAUUGGAAAAGGAAAACGAAAGGGAAAUCACUAUGUACUUCCCGCUGCCAUAGACGAACCACUCAAUCAGUCUUUCCUUUCUCCUUAUUCUUCUCCUUGUAUAUAAGAGAAGGGACAGAGUUCUGGUAGCAAGAGCAGCAGCAACAUCAAAAAUAUCAUAUGGGGAAUCAUCACCGAGCUCGUUUCACCCUCAUGACCUCCUCCUUCAUCAUCAUCAUCAUCAUGUUUUGGUUGGCAGCAUUGCAGCCGGCAGAGGUGGACGCCGGGCGGCCGAUUCUGAGUAGGUGGGUCGACCCAGAUCCACAGUUGCCGUCGCUGCCUCAGGGUACCACUCUUCCGAGGUCUUCUCUGGACACUUGCCCCGGAUCCGCUUGCCGAAGGUCUGGUUGCGGCAAUGAUUGUCAGGCGCCUGUCAGCGAGCUGAAGCCUCCAGAUCGAAGGCAAAAUCCAUAUAAGACUACCGUGAAUCCACCCCCACGCCGACCAUAAGCCUCCAGUGGGCUUCCCAUGCAUCGUUGAAGUCGAUCGAGUAUAUGCAUGUUUCUGUUUUCUCAGCUUGCUUCUGUCCGCAGCAACAAAAAUAUUCCAAGACAAUAGAAGUUCCUAUUUUGUGCUCGAGUUUUGUCAAGGUUUCUUGGAUUACUGGGUGUGUUAGAUGUGCUUGUGCCAUCUAAUUCGAGUAUAUGCAUGUUCCUGUUUUCUCAGCUUGCUUCUGUCUGCAGUUUGUGCGGGUUUCUUGGAGUACGUGCGUGUUUUAGAUAUGCUUGUGCCAUCUAAUUCGUUUGCUAUUCUUCUUCUAUGUUCUUCGUGUGUUAGAUAUGCUUGGGCUUAGAUCUUCUUUCCUGGCAAUCAACUACGAUUUCAACAAGGAAAACAAGAGAAUCCUAGAUAGCUAGAAAGACGAGUUCUUGGGAUGAUGCUGCGGUUAUUAAUUUGCAGUACUUCAAGCAUAAGAUUCGAUUGUUGAGAAGAAAUACAUUUAAUUUAGCACAAUUUUGUACGAGGAAAAGACAGCGAAAAGUUUGAAUAAGAAAUGAAGGGUCGCUAUAAAUACAUCAUAGCAUGCAUGAUAGUACAAGUAACCUCUUUUAUCGACUCUAUCAAUCCUUACCUCUCUUUGUUUCAUCUCUAUUAUGCUGGACAUUGGCUGCUUUAUGAUUUGGAUUGGGUGGAUAAGCUGUUAAGACUUCUAAUAUGUACAUGUUCUGAGAAAUUUAAACUUAAUUAAAGGAGAAAAUUGAAAUCUUUCUUUUACGAACAGAUGGACAAAAGAAUUAUAACAUCUAGGGUUUGAAUACACACCAUGAUAAAAAAAUGACCAUGAAGAAAAAGAUUAUAUGGGUUAUAAGAAGUAGAGAGUCAAUAGUAAAUUUUAUAGGUUGUACAUGAUAAAAACUAUAUUGAUGCAUGUUGCUUCACAUUCUCUUUCUCUCUCUUUUCUUUUCUUAUCAGUGAAUACAUAAAGAUUUCUUGAAGGAUACAUACACAUGGGAUUGGAUAUUGAUGCAUAAUUAAAAAUUUAAGGCUUUUUAACCCUAACUAAUGUGAGAUUGUUCAUUUGGUUGUUUUAGAUCUUUAUCUUAUACAUGCAUGUUUUUCUAGCAUCAGAAUUGUUAGGAAUAUUUCUCAUACUACAAGGAAUAUUUAUUGUCCUGAGGUUAGUCUUUGCAUAUUUAUAAAAAAGUUUGGAACUUGCUUAGUUGCAUGAUUUCCUAAAUUAUGAUUCCCAAGCAUCUUUUUUUCUUGUGAAUCUGACUUGGUGGCUGUUGAUCGGCUAAGUUAGUCAACCAGAAGCCUCUGAGCUUAGAAGCUGGUAGGUAUACUCUCAACUAUCCAUGGAGAUGGAACUAAAAAUGUGGCUUCUUGCCAAACUAUGAAGAAGACUCGUCAUAAUCCACCGCCGAUCCGCGGUGGUUGGAACACUGCAAAAGAUUGUCUGGUAAUUAUCCAAUUCCAGACAAAUCUGAGGGCUGGAUUCUGUCGUAAUCUAGAAGAGCUCCUGUUUCUUACAGGCACGCUGCAGCCAAAAGUCAGUCUUCGUGUUUACUGCUUCCACUCACAAGUCAGUCCUCCACUACAAGCUGCAUUAUAAAAGGAGGAGGAAAGACAUGAAGCAGCAUCAACAGAGAUAUAAUCUUUAUUUGGAGAUUUCAAUAUAUGGGGUAUCAUCAUCACCCAGCUUCUUUCAGUCUCAUGUUCUCCUUCAUGGUCAUGUUUUGGCUGGUAGCCUUCCAGCCCGUGGAGGUGGACGCCGGAAGAGGAUUGAUUCAGUCGCUGCAACCAGGUUUAUGGUUGAAGUCGCUGUCUCAACAUUUUCUGAAGCCUCCCCAGAGUAGAUCCGGCUGCAGGUUCAAUCAGAAGUGUGAUCCCCGAGAUCCUGUCCGUGACAGUUGGCAUUCUAAACCAAGCCAAACCCCGUAUGGGACCUCGCUGAACCCACCACCACCCCGUCGAUAAGCUUCCUUCCUGCCUUCCUAUGUUGGCUUCCCAUGCAUGCAUCGUUGCAGUCGAUCGAGUCAGUCAUUCUGCCAGUAAGAAACCCCAGUCUCAGCUGUCUGGGUAUAUUUUUCUUUGUGUUCUCAGCUUGCUGCUCUGUGCACUACUUGAUAUAUAGUUGGCACAUCAAAACAAAUCUUCAAAGAGAAUAUAUCAUCUAAAGCUUUUAAAAAUUGAAGAUGCAUGGAAGCUUAAUUUGCCUCAUCCCUCUUCCUUCAUGGUGACGGUGGUGGUUCGGUUUUGACGUGACGUCGCCUCUUGAAUUAGUGCGCAUGCAUGGAAAAGGAAGAAUGAUUUGAGUUUGACCAUCUUCCACCGCAGAUGGUGCAGUGUUGACUGCAUGAGUCUUGGGAAUGAAGGCACUGUGACACAGUAUGAAGCAUCCGACGUUCAUUCUGACACUGAUGUCAGAAUGAAGGCACUGUUCCGACGUUUAAUUCUCGAUCGGCAUUAGUAGUAUUCAGCCACAAAACCCUGCACAGCUCGCAGAUGCAUGCAGCCCCUGGAUCGAUCGCCUCUUGACAUCUGCUGCUUGUUGGAGAUGUUCGCUCUCUCAUCGUGCAGAUUCAGAUGCAGAUCGUAUCUGUCUUGUAUAUACAUCUAGCACGAUAUUGCUUUCUUUAGAAUCAUUUGUUUCCUAACAUUUCCUUGGAAUUAGAAUUAAACUUAUAUUAUUUUUAGGAUCCUAUUAAAAAAACAAUAUGAUCCAUCCAAAAAUAGCAUAACUCAACUCCCAAUCUCUCAAAAAAAAAAUCAUAAAUUUUUUAAGAGACAUUGUAAACGACAUGUAAAACCUAAAUGGUCAUUGUUUUUUUUUAUUUUUACGCUAAAUUUUCAUUGGUUUAGCAUAUGUUGGCUUUUCUAAAUUACUUUGGUUUAGCAUUUGUAACCACCAACUGCAAAUGCAUUACUUUGCAAUUCUCUUCUUGUUGAUUUGAUUGUUGGACAAUUUCCAAUCUUCCAUGUAAACAUUAACAUUCCAUAGAUCUCAGAAAGCUUUGGUCCUGAAAGGAAAGUUGCAUUGCAAUUCAAAGACAAGAAAAAUAAUAAAACUACAGGAAGCUUGAGUUUGGAAGUAAUCAAACAUUCUGCAUCACAUAUAUAGAACAUGUAACCGACCUCUUGUAUCACAUAUAUAGAACAUUAGAAUCUACCAUAUAUUUGAUAGGUCAAGAAUCUAAGUAAAUAUAAUUCAAAAUAAGGAUAUAUAUUUGUGAUAUUUUCUUCCGCUGCUAAGUAUGGCACGAAAGCCUAGUGAGUGCACAAGCAGAUGCGCUUAUAUCACAAUUUCGUCAAAUUAAAUCUUUUGAAGCAUUUGCCAUGGGGAGAUGGAGCACAAGAACGUUUAGUCAUGUCUUCUCACAAAGCAGAAACAAAAUUAUGACGCCAAUGGCAAUUGUGGCAUAUUACAGUAAAACAAGAAUAGGAAAAUUUAAAGUCUUAGAUCCUAAGCGAGACACAAAGUGAAUUGGAUAUAAAUAUUUUGUGUAAACGAUGGUUCAAAAUUUUGGGUACCAAACCCAUAUUGAUCGCUGGUUGGACCGGUGGAGAUCGGGAACGUACCGGCAGGUAUGGCUGCAUACAUGCCAGCGUAUCCGAGGAGGAAAAAAAGGGCAGAGAAGGAGGAUACCGAGAAGGAAGAUGGACAGUCGCAGUGAAAUGGUGAUCGGGGUUUGGGGACGGAAGAGGGGCAACUAAGCCGAGUUUUUUUUGCAAGUUACCAUGCUGGAGACCGACCCGGACCGGGCCAGAAGCCUUGGUCUGCAUUUCCAUUAAGCCUCGGACCGGGCCAGAAGCCUUGGUUUGCACGUCAAUUAAGCCUCGGACCGGGCCAGAAGCCUUGGUCUGCAUUUCAAUUAAGCCUCGGACCGGGCCAGAAGCCUUGGUCUGCAUUUCAAUUAAGCCUCGGACCGGGCCAGAAGCCUUGGUCUGCAUGUCAAUUAAGCCUCGGACCGGGCCAGAAGCCUUGGUCUGCAUGUCAAUUAAGCCUUGGUCACAAUCUUUGGUCCAAUUCUGCUUACUAUUUUCGUAAAUGAAAUCCAGCAACAUAAAAAUUUGUCUCAAAUUUUUUAAGUGCCUUCAGAUUUUCUUAUAAAUAGAUGCAAUAGUCUAAUCUUAAGUGUCUUAUCACUUUCAUAAAAUCUCAAAUACUGGAAAAGACAGGAUCUUUUUUCAUGACAAGAAUAAUAAAGUCAUAAAAUUUUAACUAUUUGAUCGGCUACAUGAAUCUUUUAUCAUAUUAAGAUCUAUAAAAAAUUUAUUUUAAAUUUAAUUAAAAAUAUUUAAAUUUUUAUAUAUAUAAUAGAUUAAGAUCUUUUUUAGGACUUCGCUACUUCUCAUUAAAUAACUUAUAAGAUGAAUGAUGACAUAGGAGAAGCAGAAAAGGGUACAAUCAUUAGUGAACCAUACAUCAUUAACACACAACAUUUGUGUGAACAAGAAACACAAGAGAAUAAAAUUAUGGUGUGUGCGGUAUGUUCGAUUUUGAUGGAAACACAUGGUAAUAUAAUUUUUAUCACCAUUCAUAUGCAAGUAAAUAGAUUUGAUAAUUAGUAACAAUGGGUUAAUUAUAUAUUAUCUCUAUAAUUAACUAACUUUAGUAUUUCAGUUAUUAUCAUUUUAAAAGUUAUAUUGAGGUCCAUAUAUUUACGAAAGUAAAAUAUUUAACUCCGUUGUUCUAACAAAAUCUUUUUUUUUUAUCUUAUAAAAUUAUCUUUUUAAUCGUGUGUGUAUAGGGGUAUUAAUAUUUCACUUUGGUAAGUAUAAGGAUCCUAAUAUAAUUUUUAAAAAAUAUAGUGAUCGAAAUAUUAAAGAUAACUAAUUAUACAUGCAGCUUUAUUUUUCUAAUCUCAGAUACUAUAUUUUCAACAAAUCUUUGCAGAAAAAUUGAAGUCAAACGACGUUAGCAUUAGCAUUACCAUCGUAAAUGCUUUUUGUGUGAGUAACAUAAGAGGGGAACGAAUUCCCUGCAUAAGUGGGCAUUAUUAAUAAAGAGAAAACAUUAAAUGAGAGAAAUCCUCAUACAUCCUUUACACUAGGCUUUGGAUUUAACUAUGUAAUGCCGAGGUUUUGGAAUCAUCGAGAGCUAUGGGCUUUGGAGUUGCAUACAAAAGUGUUCCUCGAGAUCUCAUGCUAUAUUUUGCACCUAUCCUUAAGUUAGUAAAAGAAAUGAGGGAUUCCGAAACAAGUGUUGUUGUUGUUGUAUACUCUAAUCGCACAUACCCUCUUUUCACCUUUGGAAUUAAGUUUGUAGAUACGGUUGCAUGCAUAAAAUCAUCAAUUAUUAUUGGAUCAUUGAACCGUCAAGAAUUAUAGUUGUUGCGUGCAACGUUUGUGCGAAUGGGACGGGUGAAGAGUUGACGUGAACUGAUGAAUUGGACUGACGAUAUAUCAUGUAACAUAAAAGUCAGACCCAACGCAUGAAUGCGCAAGUACAAGCAUCCGCAGAUGCAUGUAAGUGGGAGACAACACGUCGUGCUUCCCAAGCAACUUCUUUUUCUUCUCCUAUUGUCCACCCAAGUUGCCGGUUGUCGAUGGAAGACCAGCGUGAAGAACGAGUCCACCCAAGUUGCGAGAUGUCGAUGGAAGGCCAGCGUGAAGAAUGAGUCCACCCAAGUUGCGAGUUGUCGAUGGAAGGACAGCAUGAAGAACGAGUCCACCAGAUAAGAUAUAUUUUGACUCAAGAUACAUCAGAAUCCGAUAUUAUCGGUCAUCGUCAGAAUUCGUACUAAGGCACUGCUCAACAUGUCAUCUCUCGAGAAUCCUGAGGCAAAGCCGCUCCUGAGACAUGCCAAGUCAGAAUCCGUACAAAAACACUGUUUGGCACGUCCACCACGUCAACCUGCGUACGACCGACCCACGUAUAGUAAUAUAAAGACCUAUGGCCAGCAUCUAGCCAUGAGGGUAAAAAAUCAAUUAAUCACUCGACUGAUUUACUCGUUGGAGGGGCCUCGUCGGAUAGAUUUAAUCCACACAUGAAAUUAACAUAGAUUUAAUCCACACAUGAAAGGAGGAGACACUGAACAAAAAAUAAUGUGUGUGAUGAAGACAGAGAUGAACUAAACAUUAUUCCCACAUUAGCAUUGAAUAAAGGAGUUCAAUAUCAUUUAAUGUACAACUUUAUGUUUGGGCUCAUUUAACUCAUAUACAUAUUAAGAUCCCAACGUGGUUUCUCGAGUCACAUAUGACGAGGAUGUCUUUAAAAAACCAUAAUAUUUCUAGAUGGAACAAAAAUUAGUUAGCACGUUGCUUACGAUUAACCUUAUGCUUUUUUGUUCCAUUAUUAAUUUAAUUCGAACUCAUCUAAUUUUAAAUUUUAACAUAGAAUGUCAGAGUCAUGAUCAAUUCGACUCGGACUCAUAUAAUUUCAAAUAUCAACAAAGUGAAUCAUACUUGAAUCAUGUGGAAAUCUUAUCGUGUCCUCAUUGAGCAUUCUCUUUUUUGAUACAUUUGCCCAAGUCAUAAAAUGUGGUUUUCCCAUUCAAUUGCUUGCAUCUGAAUCCAUGACUUUGAAUGUAGAAUACGAGGAUUAACUUUUCUUUUUUCCUUCUCCCUUCACUGAAAAAAUCUUCUACAAGGAAUAGGAUUGUAGAUUCUACUGACGAUAUAUUGUUAGAUUGUUUAAUAUGUUCAAGUGUCUACUGGUUGAACUUAAACUUUCCAUAAAAAUUAAGUAGGACAUUUCAUAAUUGCCUACAACCAUAUAUUAAGUAAGCUCAUCUAUGGGAGAUAGCAUUAACCUAACUAUAUGUUAGUAGUUUAUAGGCUAUCAAAGUAGGAAGUUGACUCGGAUUCAAUCUUAUUCUUUCUCGAGCCUAUCUUAAGAUGGAGCUUUUCGGGUCGGAUGUUAAAAACCUAUAAAAUUUUAUUAGGGGCAUUAUCAACGAACCUCUAAUGCUUAAGUCAAUAAUAUAGUCGGACAAAUCGGACUUAAAAUUGUUUAAUAUGUUUUGGACAUACUUGUAUGACCCUUUUUAUAGUAGGCACCGAGCGGAGACCAUUAUGCUAUUUAUAACACAUGCCCUUCACUUUAUGAGCCGAGAAGCACAGUGGACAAUUGGUAGGGAAGUAUUAUUCUAUUGAUAUACGUGGUCAAUAUAAGAGAUGAUAGAAUGCCCAAGUCGAGCUGUCCAACUCAUGACUCGAUUGUGCCGAUGCAACAUGUUGAUGACCAAUACCCUGAUUAGACAUGGUAGCACAAGAGGAUGAUACAGUUAGGUACAGUAGCACAAUGAGAUGGUAUAAUCGAGUGCGGCGGUAGCGAUGCAUAAUGGACUAAUGAGGUCAGGCACGACAACACAUUGGGUUAGUACCUCCAAGUAUGACGGCACAAAGGACUAAACAUUGGGGGGCUGAGUGUAGUGGUGCACAAAGGCUGAGAGGCCAAGUGCAAUGGCAUACAAAGGGCAAGUGAAGCCAAGUGACGUGGUGCACAUAGGGACGGGAGGCUGGGUGCAAUGGCAUGCAAAGGGCCAGUGAAGUCGAGCAUGGUGGUGCAUGAAGGGUUUGGAGACCGGGUGUAGUAGCACACAAAGGGCUAGUGAAGCCAGGCACAGUGGUGCACAAAGGGCUAGGAGGUUGAGUGUAAUCGUACACAAAGGGUCAGUGAAGCUAGGUGCGAUGGUGCAUGAAAGGCCGAGAUGCUAAGAAUAAUAUCGAGCAAAGGGCUAAUGAAGUCAAACACAAUGGCAUAGAGGGCCAGUGACGUCGACAUGCAGUGACGUAGAGGGCUGACUAUGGGCACAUGUUGAGUAUGCUUAUGCUUGGGCGAGAGAAUCCAAGAAAAUCCACACAUGAUUUGAUAAUUGAUCACACAUCAUACCCACCUAUGGUGAAGGGGGACGUGGCACAAUCCACAUCUGUCGCAUGGUCAUUACGUAGAUCAUCGCAGAUUCGACAUGAUCUCCUUGACAAUUUGAAUGACCAUUGCAUCAUUAGAAUUAUGCCACGUGUCUUAGGGUGCAUCAGAUGACAUUAUGUGCUCGACUCUCUUUGAGGUGCUCAGGAGCCAAACAGGUAAUGAAGCAUAGGAAGCACCACCUUUGGCCCCCCUAUAAAUAGUGGUUCAUUGCCACAAUUACUCCUUAUCUCAUCUUACAACUUGAAUCUUACGAACAAUACACUCAAAACUAUUCACACAAUGAAAGAUAUGCAAUGCCAUCCUCGAUUUUAACUUUUAAUAUUUUUGAGUCAAAUAAAUCACCGAUCCCAUCACCACCUGUAGUGUCAGCAACAAAAACAAACUUUAUUCUAGGAAGGAGUUGAGUUAAUUGAACCGAUGGAGGCAAAUCCAUUGUGAUGUGACUCUGCCACCUAUGGUAGAGUCCUUCGACUCAUACUCAAUGGUGUUGGCCUCCAACCUAAAGAUGCACUAGGAGGUGUAUCAUAUAUCGAUCAAGUUCGAGUUAGUGCUUACUUGGUCAGGUAACCGACCUUAUGUAUUAAGUCACAUGUUUUACACAAGCAUAUAUGUACUAGAUGUGGGGCUUUAUUUUCACCUCUAUCCUUUUUUUAUCAACGCUUACAACUAUUGGAAGUCACGCCCACCUAGAUAGUGCUAAAUUCCUGAAAUUUUCUUAUGGCAUUCAUUGCAAAAUGCAUGAGGACUCGUGUCUCCCUAAUGCUAACCCUUUUGUUAGCCUGCUUUAAGGGGGUCAGUGUAUUUCCUAUAUGUCCGACCCAACUAUUGGAUUAAGGGUGCUUUAACCUCCUACAAGUCUUCCAACAUUGCCUUGGGGCUAAAGCAGUCGAAAAAAGAGUAGUUUUGUAAACUAUCUUUAGCCCUAUCUAAGUCCACAGUCAUCUUUUAUAUGAGCAAGCAAUUGCUCAUUAAUUGGGGGCUUAAGCCGAACUCCUCGGGGUAAGAAGUUAGAAACUUUCGUUGUUUAAGGGUUUAUUUAAAUUGACUAACUUUAAAAUUUUCUUUUGCAGAUAUAUAUCUCGAGGGAAGUAUCCUUGAAUGCAACACUCAUCCCUCGGGUGGGUGGAUGAAAAGUGUUAUUUCUUGGCCCAAUGAAAGAGAGAUGAGGUCAAUAAAGAGCACCACCAACCUAUCACUAAAUGGAAAGGAUUGGCAGGCCCUUGGGUAGGGCAAAAAUGCAUGUCGACUCCCCCUUCAUUGUCACCCCCACCCAGCUAAUACAGACAUCAGGAGGAGCCUGCCCCUGUCGAUUGGGCCCUCAAUAAGGUCUGACCUCCCUCGCUCAUGGGAUCAACAGGUAGAACAAGAGCGAGCUAAGACUCAUGAGCCUAAGCAAUAGCGACAGCAACAUCUCAUCGCUCAUCUUUUAGACACUUCGAGAGUGGGACCCUCGGUCGCCCUAUAUGGUUCGUUACCUUCAUCAACGAUGUAGAUACUAUAAAUCUGAUAGAAUUCUUAUCGCUAUGAAUUAACGAUGAGGUGAUUACUAGGGAAAGAGGACAUUAGCAUUUGUGUCUUAAAAAUACCAUAAAAAAAUAUUAUGGUCCAACAUAGGGAAUAGAUUCGGACUAGUCGAUACCCCAAAUUGUCCCUGAUUCAAGAUCAUCAAAAUUGGGGGAUUUGGCAAGGGAGUAUUCAUGGUUGUUGGAGUCGAGGGAUUCAAAUCUUCAAGUUUAUCAAAGAUAAAUAUGUGAGGUUUCUUUGAGACAUACCAAUCAGCCCUCAUAGCACCAAACUGUUAGAAUAGUUUCUAAGUUGUCCGAGCUGGAAGUUGACUCAAAUCCAACUUGAUUCUUCUUCAAACGUAUCUCAAGAUGGAACUUGCCAUGUCGAAUAUCCAAAGCCUAGAAAAUUGUAUCGGGGGUAUCCCGACAAAAUUCUUUUAAUGUUUAAGUCAAUAAUCUAAUCGAAUAAGACAGAUUUAAGAUUGUUCAGUAUAUCUUGGAUGUAUUUGUGCGACUCCUUUGAUAGUGGGUGCUUGGGGGAGUCAUUACCUUGUUUGUUCAUAGGUGAGAGAAUCGAUCACAACCACUUUUGUUAUGUUUAUUUAUCACAUGUGGAUUAGGUAACUCGAUUAGGUUGAGAGAAGAUAUUGAAUACUAGGUAACUAUAUAUAUAUAUAUAUAUCAGAUGAAUACAAAGACGACAGCCAUCAAGCAAUAACAAUCUAUUCCUAAGAACAUUUAGUUCCGACCACUCCUACUUAGUCAACCAUCUCAUGAUUAGCUGACCAUAAAACCCAAAGGCUUAAAUCGUAAAGAAGUGACUCAAGAAAUUGAGCUCAGAGUGAUCUCAGUGGUGUGGAAAGAAAGAGGAGGCACCCAAGCUGUGGUUCCAUUGAAGAGACGACGACGAUGGUGGUGGUUGUGGUUGCCUUCAACUGUUGCCGGCGGAGCUGAAGUCUCCAUGGGGGGUGGUGGAAGGUGGCUUGUAGUACAUGCGCGCGGUCUGAGGGCAGUGGGAAUGGAACCGUGCCGCUAUCCUCACCAACAUCUCCACGUACCUCCCCAUCAUCUCUCUCUCUCUCUCUCUCUCUCUAAAUAUUAGCAGAAGAAAGAUGGAAGAGAGAUGCUUCUUUGGAUGGUUAGUGUAGGAGAAAGACAGAUGGCAUCAACGCUACUGCUCUUAUAGCUGCUUACAAUCAGUAUAACAGCACGUAGAUCACAUCUGUGACUUGUCUUUCUCCAUCACCCAACAGAAGCAAAUGUGGAGGGUGUGCCAAAUAAGGAGAAGAAAGAGAAGACAUUGUGCGUACGUCAUUCCUUGAAACACAGUGCAAGUCGACGGAUUCUUCUUCGCAAUUAAUCAUGGGAGGACUUUGCAGAGAAGCAAAGCAAGAUAAUUUACCAGGAAUUGUUAUUUGAUUCGACGCUUUAUGUUCGAGGAGAAUAAGUCGAAGAAGAAAAUUGAAACAAAUUACUUGUAGAUUCUACGAGUUAGUGUCAUAAGAAGGAUUUAUUUUAAAGUAAAUGCAAACAUCCCAUUAAGAGUUUGAUAUAAUCCUUUAUUAGAUGUGAUAAACAACAUUUUGUUAUUUUUGAUCCUAUACUAUCUAUUUAUAAAAUUAUUAUCUUAUCAUUUUUAAUAUAAAAAUAUAUUGUUUUAUUAUUUUGUAAAUUAGAAUAAUAUAAUUAUUUAAUUUUUAAUUUACGUUUUACUAUUUUAAUCAUACAAAAAUAUUUUUUGGGUUCAAUUAUUUAUACAUAUAUGUGAAAAUUAAUAUUUUCUCCCCUUUGUGUAAUAUGAACAAGUUUUUGACUCAAAUUAUACAUAAAGGAAAUUAAAAUAACAUUAUUAUCAUUUUGUGCAAAACAUGUUUUCAACACCAUCUUGUUGUUUCUUUGACCUCACCAAACGCGUUAGUUGAAAUGAAGUCUCCUUCUCCAUUGGUCAACGUGCUACAUGUGUUGUGCGUUGGCCACCACCACAAAAACCGGACGCCGUCCGCCUUCUUCUUCCUUCCGUCGUCGACGCACUGCCUUUGACCUUUUCUUCCUCCUCCCUCCUUUCACGGAUGAAACGAACUCAACAUGGAACAGACAAUAAUGCAUGUUUCUUUCGUGAUGCUUGCCGUGGGAUUUGAAGUCCAUUUGGCGUGUUCUCUUCUGCAAACUUAGUAUCAGAAUCUGAAGCCUGUGAUGUGAUGCUUGCCGUGAGGACCAAAUUGCAGUUAAAUAUUUUUGAGGUAGCGUGAUUCGAUUUCGUCUCUUCUCUUGCGUUCAUGCGUUGUGUUAAGAUGAUUAUGUUCGAAGGUUAUCUUGUUUUCGUCUCUUAUUUUUGCAAAAGGAAACCUUCUAAUGAAAAAUAUUUUUGCAUUCGUUUGAUUAACAUAUUAACUUUUUUUUUCAAAAAAAAAAGAGCCAAAGACAAGAUAAUCAUAAAUAAAAAAAAAAUAGAUAAACAAAUAUUUCAAUCAAAAUGGUGACAACACCAAUCAACAAGAACAAUAAUGGAUUGAUUGCACAGGAAGGAAGAACAACAAGGAUACUCCUACUACAAGUUUCAGAACCCCAAGGACAAUAAUAAUAAUAAUAAUAAUGAUUCCUUCUGCUACCAAAAUUUACCAUAUUAAAUAUUUCGAAUAAGCAAUGACACAGAGGAAGAUUGGUGGCAUACACCCUUGACAAAAGCCGAGUUGGUGACACCCACCCAAGCUGGUAUACGUCGUCGCGUAGUCAAGUCAGAUGCAUGACAAAAUGCUGCCCGAGUGGAUGCAUGCAUUUGGGAAGAAGAAGGUUUAUAACCCACCAACUCCAUCUUGAAUUACAUUUAUAAGUUGCAUGAGAUUCCGUCAAAUUUGUUUUUAAAUAUAUAAAAUUAUUUUCGUGACUCAAACAAAUAUCAGCAACCUCAAAAUGAUGCCAAAGAAAUGAUUCAAGAAAGAACCCAUGGAGUAGUCUCCCAUUGGCGUUCCUUCAAUAGUUUAUUAUCGAAGGCAUGCUUUCUUGCACGGAGGUGAUCGUUAACACUGGUGUUUAUGCAGUAGAAAAGAGAUUGAGCAAUCCCCUGCUCUGUAAUCUGUUGUCAGGUGACAGAGAUCUCUGUGAAAAAUACUUCAAAUUUCAUGAAAAGGCCUAACAUAUUAUACGUUCUUCAUGCUCUCUCUCUCUCUCUCUAAGAUAUGAGCCUCGUGAUGAUACAAAUUAAUUACGGAGAAAGAUAUUAUACAAGUAUAAAUACAAGAUGAAAUGAAGAGAGAUGGAUAUAGAUUUUGGACUCACGAGAUGAAAAAUUUUGAUGGGAAUGAGUAUUAAUUCUAAAAACAUGCUUAAUUAUGACAAUCCGUAUAUUUAUUAAGUUGUAAAAAUAAAUUACAGAACCUAUGAACACGAUUGAUUCCUUUGCGGUAAGGGAGCCAAACCAAUCGAAUCCAUGUGGCUGAUAUAUUAGCCUCACUGCUCUCGCUCAAACGAUAUAUUAGCCUCUUUAUGAGUGCCAAAAAACAACAAGAGGAAUCAAAACCAAACCACAAGCGUUACUGUUUGGCCUGUGAGCAAUGGGUGACAUCGGCGACGACGAGAACAGGAAGACAUCACAAGAACAGAUGAAGCCUCUCCUUGCAUCCCCUCACUGCUCUCGCUCAAACGAUGGAACGGAGAAUGAUCUCCUUGGCGCGGAGCCUAACGACGCCGACGUCGACAGCGAAGACGAAGAAGAGGAACAAGGAAAAGAAGACGCCCACGUCUUGGAGGCGUCGUCGGCGGGGUUAGCUUCACCGUCGGUGGCGGUGGGAGGCGGCUUGUAGUACAUGCGGGCGGUCUGAGGGCAGUGGGAAUGGAACCGCCACACGAUCCUCACCCCCAUGUCCAGCAACUCCACGUACUUCGCCAUCCUUCCUCCCGCUCCUCCUCCCUGCACAAAUGCCUGCGAGCGUGAAGGAAAGAGAGAUGGAGACGAGUGCGGGAAGGGUUCCUCAGAAGACGUCCCAAAGGAAGGCCAUGAAAGGAGAGAGAAGGAGAUAGAGGCGUAUGAGGAGGAGGCGGAGGGGGAGAGAUAAGAUCCUGGAAUUUAUAGUCUCUCUCUCUUCCUUAGGUCAUGUCUCACGAUGGAAAGAGGAUGGAGGACUAUUUCUUGGGAGGACGCCGACCACGCAAAGUCCAAUGGAGAGAGAGAGAGAGAGAGAGAGAGAGCGCUAAGAUUGGGGAGGAUGGCCCAAUGAGAUCAUUUCCGGCACAGCAGCUGUGCCGGUUAACACCUUCCUUGGAUGUCACCACUCUACCAAUUCUACCGCAGGUUGGAAGAUACAUAUGGCUUUGGGUUGGUGUCAGAUUCCUCACUUCUGCCACCAUUCACACCAUCUGUUGCUGAGAUGUCUUUUCCUUUAUUGAUUUAUUAUUAUUUUUCAGCAUUCUUUUAUUUUUUUAAAGUAAGAUAUUGAAUGUGCCAAUUAGAUUCUUCUUUUUUUGGAAAUAGUACGUUUGAUGCCUUUAAAUUUUAAUAUAAUAUAUUUAUAUUCCUCUUUAUGUUUGGGCCUUAUAUAUAUACAUACAUAUAUAUAUACAUAUGUAUAUAUAUGUGUGUAUAUAUAUAUAUAUAUAUAUAUAUAUAUAUCUUUAAAUAUUUAAAUCCUUUCUAUGUGCUCAGUAUUCAUUCAGUGAAUUUGGAAUGUUACUUGAUAUUAUAAAAUAUUAAAUUAUCUAAAGUAUUUUUAGAUAUUUUCUUCAAGAAUUUAAAUCGAAACUAGCAAAUAUAAUAAUUACAUAAUUUUAUAACCUAAACUUAGAUUUAAGAGAAUAUGUAUAUAUAUUAUUAAUUUGGCCCUCAAAUUCUGACCCGAGCAGUGAAAUCAAAUCUGAUACACAAAUAAUAUAAGCAUAAGUAUUAACUUGAUCUUAACGUUCGAUCCAUUCGGCUAUUCAUAAUGUUAAUUUUAUAAUUAAUUAAAAGAAGACGAUCUCAAAGAAGGCUGAGACUUAUACGAAAAGCUAAAGAAACAGUCAUAUGUGCUUUGACAAUAAAUUUCAGUUGCAUUUUCCUAAAGGGCUAUGAAAUGGAAGAAAAAACAUUUAAUACAUGCGAUUAAAUGUAUGAAGUAUGAACUGAAAAGGACUUAAUUCUUGCAUUAAUAUCAGGUUGCUUUCAUCCAACUCAUACCACACGUUUCUCGAGAUUUCUUCCUUUAUUUUCUUUAUUAUUCUGGGGAAUAAUAAAUAAAGUGUAGGUUGAUUCCACCCAACCACUCAUGAAGAACAUUUUGGAGGUUCCCAAAAUGAUGCUUGGUUGGUAUCCUCUAAGUUUGCCUCUACAUUCAAGGAAUUUGGAUGAUUAGCUAAAAUAUGUCAUUAAUUAUUUGAAAAGUUCAUGAAUGAGUCGGCACUUGUAGGCAUUUAAUUUAUAUUUCGGAAGUAAAUUAGAAGGUGCAUAUCCUCUUGAAUGGUGUGUGAAACAAUGUCCAAAGAAGAUGCGUUUCGAAGAUGCCAAUUUUGAUAUUGAAACCCAUUGAAUGAACCAAUUUGUGCUAAUUAUGACGGUUUGUCUUUAUUUGAGAUUACGUUGAUUAAUUGUAUUGAGAUAAGUAAUUUAUAUUAUUUUCUCAUCUUAGGGAAAGCUUUUUUAUUUUUUGAUAUAUAAAAAGAAAUAGAAUGAAUUUUCAUCCCAAUAAUAAGAGGUGCAAUUAUGCUCGAUAUCUUAGGAACAACAAUCCAUUCGACAAGUCGUAUAGUAAAAGUCAUGUCUAAAAUGUCAUGGCAAAGGUUUCUUAUAUUCUAGGAGUUUCAUUUACGGAGUUGAAAAGAUAGAUGAAGUGUAAGUUGUUCGAGCUACUGAGAAUAUUUUUUGAGAUGAAGAUUUACUGUAGUACAAAGACUAUCUCAGAUAGUCUAGCAUUCAGCAUGUAAUAAUGGGUUCGAAGCUGCAAGAGAGACUCUCACUGAAUUACAGAUUAAAUAAUUAAUUUGUGCAGAAGAAGUGUUAAUAGUAAAUGAACCAUCGCAUUUUAUAAUAAAAUCACGGAGAACAAUCGUAGAAGGAGAUUUUGAGAUGAUGGUGGUGAAGUCCUCCUCAAAUUGCUUGGAGGUGAGUUUGCCAUCGACACAAAAAAAAAAAAAAAGGGGCUUGGACUUUGCACCAAAUAAUAUUAGGAGAGAGGGUACGAUUGUGAAAAAGCCCAUCAUUUUUAAUCUUCGAGAACAUGAAGGUUGAAAUAAUAACUAGUAUGAUAUAGUAUAUUUUGACAUCCACCCACGUGACACAUUAGCUAUCAUAGUAGACUCGGCAUGACAUCUUUAAGUCGAUGUGUCGCAUCGAGCCAUCCCAACACCAUGAGCCCGAGGUCAACUAGUCACCUGAUGCCACCCCCUGCACCCACUCCGCUCGAGGAUGUACGGGGCGACGUGAUCAUGUACCGGGCCACAUAAGAGGCGGGAAGCAACGUCAAACGAGACUGAAUCGAGCAAAUCAAAGGACGCUUGCACCCAAAGCACGAGCCGAUCGCCUACGGUGUUAUCGAGUAUUAAACACUCGCAUACGAUGACGAUUGGAGAUUAUUAAAGUUGCUACGUACGAUCGCAUGUAGGAACAAGUAUAAAAGCCAUCCCCAGGAACAGUGCUAAGGUUGGACCUCAUACACACACUCCAACUCCCUCAUCUCCAACUUUUGCUAACUUAAGCAUGGAAGGAGUCGAGUCAAGAAUCCCUCUCCCGAUUCCGAUCUGAGCACCCAACGGACAGCUAAAUGAGUGAUCUUCAGUUUCUACAUGGGAGAACGAGGCCUAUGACCCCCUUAACCAAAUCUUGGGUUAAUAUACUCUAGCUUAGAGAUCUUGCAUACUUCGGACGGGACAAACCGUAUUGACACCUCAGCCACAUAAAGGUGCAAAACAAAGCAUAAUGCAAAAAGAGUUUUUAUCUAGAUUGUCUCCUUCAUAGAGUUGCAUACUAUUUGGUCGAUCGUUAAGAUAUCAAAAACAUUACCCAACAGUCGAUUGAAUGAGGUUUCAACGGUGUAGCUAGUGCAAGGUAGUAAGUCAAUUCUAAAAUAGUUUUCAAAAAAUUUGACUCUAUAACAAAGAACAUUAAUGCUCCAAAUCACUAGUCAUUCAAAGCCACUUAUGCUUAUUUUAAAAGUUUAUAUAAACUUUUAGAUACAACCAAUCCUAAAUGAUGUGGCAUCCAAAACAACUGGGUAAGAAUAUAAAUAGAGGAUAUAAAUUUUACUAAGUGUGGGUAGGGAAGCUUGUUAUUUGUGAAUAUAUGUAAUUGCUUGCACUUACAAACUUGAACUACAUAUUUUAAUGUAUUAUUAUUUUGAAGCAAUCAGGAAAAUAAUUUUACCCAGUUAUUUUCUUGGGUCACUUUUAUUUGCAUCGAGAAUAAGUCAUCUAUGAAGGUUAUUUUCCUGGCUACAAUAUUUGACCAGAUAGUAUAUUGAUUUGACCAGUGAGAAUGAGUCAUAUACAUUGCAUCGACGUGCUUGGCAAGUAAUUGAAGGGAAAAAGUAAGCCAACUCAAACCUGGUUGUCUUCCAAUUAGGGCCAAGUUUCUGAGGUGUACUUACUGGAUGACUACAACAUCUAACAAGUGUCAAGUUAAAACAUCAGUAUCGGCAAUCAUCAAAGAUAUAAAGAAACACAAACAAUUGUAUGUGGCAAAUUCUUCUUUGGUUUUACCCACUUUUCCUUUUUUAUCUUUCUCUGGGAUGAAACGAGGUGAUGAGGUGUUUGGAUACAGAUUAUGAGAGGAACAUGAGUCUAAUAUGUGCAGAACAAUAUGAGUUUAUUGAUCAUCCAUAGAGGUAAAUGGGUUGUUGUCCACCACAAUGUUUGACUGAGAGUGGAACACAGCCAGUUUGAUUAUGCCAUGUCUUCAUAAUUUUAUAUUAGUUCCUUCCAUGCAACUAAGCUUUACAGUUACCAGAAGCGAGAUGAAAAGAUAAAGCAAAUGGCCAAUUCAGAUGGUAUUAUCAAGGCAGAAACACUGCAUGACAUCUUUCAUUAGGUGGAGAGUGGAGCUGAAGGGGGCAGUAGCAUCAGUAUUACACUUUGUCAUCAUGGAACCACCAUCUAGUCUCCUUGGGAGACCUACCAUUCCUACAGUUCCUCACGUAUCGAUCAUUAUCAGGCGGACGUUGCUGAAAUCACAAGAAAUAUUUCAAUCUUUGUGUUGAAGAAAAAAGAUGUUCAAAUGUGUAGUGAUGUAUCGACUAGGAAUGUGAUGAAACCUUUGCUGUCGAGCUGGAUAGCAUGGAUAAAAUGCUGAUGCAGACAGAGCUUACAGUCAUUGCUGGUGACCAGGAGUCAUAUAAGAUAUCUGCCAAAGAAACCAAAAUAUAUGUUAAGAAAGCAAAUCUUCAAGAUGGAAACAAGAAUAAUACUAGUUUUGCGUCCACUUCUUGUUUAUAAAAUUCCACCAAUUCAAAAAAAUCUGAUAUCGUUUCCUCAAGUUAAUCAACAUGAUGGUGAAUAGAAUUUGUCUUCAAGGAUGAGAAACAAAUGAAAUAUGUAUCUGCAUGUGUCUAUACAUGCAAAGAUGCAUAUAUUAGUUGUCCAGGACAUACUCUAAUCUCCCAGCUCAAACAUUCUGACCUUGAGCCAUGAAGGUUCCUUUAAAAUGUGUUAAGUUGCUAUAUAUAUACAAGAAAGAGAGGCUUACAUAAUAUAAAAUAAACAGAUAAUAACUAAUAUAUUGAUGAAACAACCAAGCUAAAUAUAACCACACACAGAGAAGUAGACAUUAGUCUAUUGACUUAUUCAUGCCUUGCUCUUCACAAAGAGUUCUUUCCUAUCAACUGUCCAAUAUAUAGCGGAAUCUGGAUGAAGCAACCAUGGUAGCUACACAUAACUAAUAAGACCAACAGCUAGUCUACCUAGGAAAUUGCUGAACUACACCCUUGUUCAGUUAAUUCCCUUAAGGUCUGUCAUGCUUAAAGACUAGCUGGUCUGAUAGAAUGAGAUCAGGUUUUUAUUACCUCGAUGAAAAGAUUGGAUCUCAUUAUUCUCGACAAAUCAGAAAUAAGCCCUAAAAUUCUCCCCUCCCUUCCUUCUUCCUUUGUUGCCACUUAUCACUUCUAAAAUACCAUUUGGAAAGUCUGGAUCAAUGUUAAACCUAUCUAUGAAGAAUAAGAUGGACCCUGGCUCAUGAUUAUAAUGUCACCUUACAGAUCAUUUAGUCAUGCUUGAUUAAUAUGCAUGUCACUAUUUUUUAUUAUUCAAACUUAAUAUAAGGUAUGCAUUAUCUGUAAAAAUUGCAUGUUCUUCAUGAACAAGUCAAGAAAGCUCAUGUAGUACUUAAUCUACUGUUACUUGAUACUUAUUUGCUUUUAAUAAAGGUACUAGAGGCUUCCAACCUGUAUAUACUAAUUUUGGCAUGUAUAUCUAGUUAAUACUUCUAUUGUUAUGUCCUUCUAGCUUGUGCGCUGACAUACCACACCCAUUUGUUUGUGUUUGCUAAAUUGUCUACAAACCAAGCAGCAUUAUCCUUUUUGAAUAUUUACAUCAUCAUCCCCCUGUGGCCUAUCCUCGUAAGAAUAUAAAACUUUUGCUGUGCUAUCAAUCAUCAACCAUUGCCUAUAAGGUUAAGACACGCAAAAGAACAUGUAGGAUGUACAUUUUCAGAAGCCUAAUGCUGAGCAAAUGGAAUCUAAACUUUUUAACUAGACAUAUGAAAAUAGUUACCAAGAAUGUUGAAUAUUUUGGGUCAUGUGAUAUGUUGGCAGAUAAGGGUAUGCCACUUAGAUUAGUCCAUCAUAUGUGGUGAGUAAGAAUAGUUGGGUUUGACGUUUUGGAUCACAGUACAUGUUAAAUUGCUUAAUUGAAUUGUGUUAUAUAUUGAAUCAGUUAGGUUGCUUGUGACCUCUUGUGAGAUAUCGUGAUCUUAAUAAUUAUCUAUGCAUCUAAGAGGAUCAAUAUUAGUGCUUUAAGACCACCUGAAAGUUACAGAUUUUGUUUUUAUCAAUUUUUUUAGUGCUUUUGUUAUUUUAGGCAUUUUUAAAGGAUUAUAGAGUAAAAAAUGUUGGUGGAUUUUAUUCAUCUUUGUAACUUCAACCUGUAAAGAAAAUGAUAUUGACAAGAAUGUACACAUAAUUUUGACAUCCUAUACGGCAUAGUACUACAGUAAUCCAAGAUGCAAAAGUAUAGUGAACAGGAACAAGGAACUAGCUGAUGGUUCAACAAGGGUAUCACAAUCCAAAUAAGAACUAUGAUCUAAAUUCUGUAAGCUAAUAUUGCUAAAAACUCACAUAAAGAGCCUAUCUUGAUAAUGCCUAUCAUUAAUUGAUGACAGUUGGGAUGCAAAACAACCAGAGGAAUAAAAUGAUGAUAUGUACUUAAAACAGGCCAAAAGGAUGAUUGUGCAUUGUUCAGUACCAAAACAUCUACGAUUGGAUAAAUUAACAAGUCAUGCAAUCAUGCCACACUGAAUACUUUUGCUGGUGAGGAAUUACAAGAUUUCACUAACUGGAUUCACAGAGUAGUUUAAACAUCUCUAGAAAGGAGUUCCACAAGCAUGGUCUGAAGGAUCAACAGAUCUUCCAACCACCAUCCCUUGCCAUACUGAGUUGAUGAGAAACAAUCGAUCAACUACAAUCAACAUAUUUUCCAUUGAUCCCAACCAAUGCCAGGUCAAGUUCUAAUCCCAUGCAAAUUUCAGCCAAUUAUUCAUCGCAAAUUACCAUAUAUAGAUAUUAGAAAUAUUUGUGUUCUUUUACCUGAUAAUGUAUAUUUGGAAAAUUUUCAAUAAAUUUACCAAAUUCUUAAGGAGCCCACAAGUAUUUUUGAAUGGUCCAGGAAAGGAAGUUGAACUGAAUGAAAUAAUGGAUUGUUGGUCAUCAUCAUGUAGAAAUUAACCUUUUCCAAAUAAGCAAAUAUAAAUGGAAGAACAAUAGUAGUGAUUUGGAUGCUUGCACAUAAGAGUUCCCUUUCAGCUAUGGAAGUUCACUACACCAAUCCUUAAAAUCUUUUUGGUCUACUUUAUAUAAUCAUUCACAUUAUCCAAAUAUUAGAGUGCACAUAGGAUCUCACUACUCAAAGUCUUGAAUUAACUAUGUAAAUGGCCAUAUCAUGCCCAAAAAAUAUCCCUUAGAAUCAAGGAAUCAACCAACAAUAAUGCUAGGGUUCACACAAAAAAAAUGGAUUAUCGAAAUUAAUUUAUGAUAGUCAUGCAAAAGAAGAGAUUGAUCUUCCCAUUAUAAAUAUGGAUGAAUAACAUGCAGACCAGCUAACCACAUUGGCCAAAUUUAACAGAAACAAUGCAAAAAAUAAAGGAUAGGAAAUUUUCUCAAUAGUCUAGAAACCUGGAUCGACAUGACAGAUGUGAUGGCCUGAGCUUUCCAGGCCAUGAAGUAUCAUCAUAUCCAUGUCAUCAUGUGCCUGCAUGCUCACUAGCAUGGACCAGCAACAGCAAGCAACAAUUCUUACAAAUUUGUUUUCCACAUUUAGUUGGUGUCACAAGCUUCUAAUAUUAUGAAAAUUUAUAAAGGAAAUGAUAAUAUUGAUUGUCUAAUGUAAUUAUCAGUCUUCCAAGUCUCUGUUCUUACAUGAUAAAAAUUCAGUAUAACAUAUAUCCAGAAAAGAAGUUCUGAUAUUUUGCAACUUUAUAAGUUAAAUGAUCUUGUGCACAACAUUAACAUAGAAAUCAGGUGUCCGGUACGGAAGAUAUAACCUUGUUAGGAGUUAUUUGAAUAUCUAUAAUUUCAAGGACAUUAUGCCUUAGAUUGGGCCACAACUACACUUGAGUGGAUGAUAUUAUAUGGUAUUCUUCCCCGAGUGCUGGUGUGAAGACUAAUGAGGAAAUUGGAACAAAGAACAAGAGCGGAUUAGCAACCAGGCGGCAUGAAAAAUCCACCAGAGGACUGAUGAUUGAAGAAACAUGCAUAUCGAACUGCGCAUACCCUUUGGAGUCUUUUAUGGUAAACAAAAAAACGAAGGUAACCGAAAAAGAUUAUCUAAAACAAACUAGCUCCUUGACUAAAAGAGUUUAGCUAAAUAAGAAAGCAAUUAAUAGAGAUAGAAGCCGAUUCAGCACACAUCUCCACACCAUUCUUCCAAAGGAUGCCUAGUUAAAUGCGGAUCAAAACAACGGUUUGUUGAUAGAAGAAGACGAGAGACUGUUCAUUCAAGCAAGGAAUAUUUCUGGCACACAAGAUACGGCUGCAACAUAGAACUAUUCAAUUAGAUCAAAUUGAUCGUGGGUUCCAACUCAAGCAACGAGAAUUACCUAAACAUAUGUGCCCGUUGCUGUAGAUGUGCGGAUGAAGAGGCGCAGGAUGCAGAAAUAUGACCUGAACAAAACCCACUAAAUCAUACUCCAAUCAUCCCAGCUAACAGAAAAUAAGGAACCCUUACCAAGACGAUCCAACGAUUUCCUUACCUGUGGAGCUUCCAUGGGAUAAUGCUCCGGGAAAUCGACCUGCAGCUGGUACUUCUCGUUGGCAUACAGCGUGCCGGGCGCUCCGAUCACCUCGAUCACCCACCUUGGAAGGAAAGAAAGAAAAGAAGGAAUCAAGACGCUGGUCAAAACAAGAGGAGGGCAAGGAGCGAGAUGAAGACCGAGCCCCAACCUUUGGAGGUUAUCGGUGACCUUGUGCUUGAAACCGGCCGGUGGGUUGACUUGCCAUUCCACCAGCUCUUUUUGGAGCCUGUUGCAAGCGAUCUUGCUCAGGGCCUGCGAUCAACCGAUGCAUACGAGGAGAAAUUUAGGACCAAACGGUAGAGGGGAAAUCGCAGGAGGAAUCGGAACACGAUGGUCGACGAAGGAAUCCCAAGAAGAGGAGAACGACCACCUUGCGAGAAGCGGCGGAGGAGCUGGUCAUGCUUCUGCGGCAGCGGCGGAGAAGAGGUGUCGUGCGGAGCGAGAGGUAGAGAGAGAGAGAGAAAAGGGGGCGUCUAUUAUGCAUUUAAUAUAGUAUUCUUUUCUUAUCUUUUUUCAAAAAAUUUCCUAAAAUUCGCCCCAAAUUGGAUUUUAAUAUCUUUGAGAAUUCGACUCGGACAUCCCAAUCUCAUCAAAUACCAAAAAGCUAUUGACACGUCAAUUUUUUUUAUUAUUUUUGUAUUAAUCGAAUAAAUUGAUAUUUCACCAAAUUAUACUUACAAAAUUCUCAGAUAAUAAAAUAAAUCUAUAGAAAGUCUGAUAUGAGUUAGAUAAAUUUAAUGGUGUUUUGCGUUGCUCUAAAUAAUAUUACACUUAAUUAUGGAAUGAAAAUAAAAUAUAAUAAAUUAUAAAGGCUCCUAAAAUAUAUAAUUUUCUUUUAAAGGAUAAGUGGUAAAGGAGAGUUUGGAUCUAAACUUUAUAUUAUACUCAUUUAUGAGUAUAAUAUUAUAAAGUUUGUCUUUCAAAAUAGUAGGUAAAUAUGAUGUACAUAAUAAUUUUAUUUUUGGAUAUUUUCUAAAUUGGAUUUCAUGUGUUUUCAAGUACUCGAAUUAGUCAGCCUCAAUCUUCCCCGAAUAAAGUCAAACCAUACAAAUGCAUAUAUGGAGGAAAGACUACCAUCUUCUUCUGCUUAUACAUCGCUCUUCAGGACCUGAAGGUGAAGGACAUCAUAGUCCUCAUCUGUUUGCACUCUUUGAGCUCUGUGCUUGAGACAUUGGACUCAAAACUAGAAGAGCUCGAGAGAAUUUGAAUUGCUGUCGAUAGCUCCAAACUUCUUGGCAAGCUGAGAGAACUCAAGAAGACUCCACCUGAUGCAGAAUGAUGUAUGUUCUCUUCAAGUUAGAAAUCCUUUCGCAAAAGACAAAAAGAAGAAAAGCAAAAUGCUACAGGCAACCACACAUGAUUCCUGAACAGCCUUCCUUGUGAAGCUUAGAAUAUAAUUAAUGCAGUAUAAUCCAGUUGGUCAGACAGACAGUAUGAGAUUAUGAAGAGGUGAUUGAUUGGAUUGCAAUAAACUUAAACAACAAAAGCUGACGACCUAAAGCACCCAAGAGAACUAGAAAUCUGGAGUCUACUUUGUCGAGGUGCAUUGCCCUGUGUAACCCCAUAGUCUAAUUACUAGCACCUGUCAUCACUGCAUUGAAGAAGGAAGCAGCAUGGAUUUGUCUAUCACAAGAACAGUGCUAUCUGACCAAAAAGAAAUAAGCAUUGUCACUCUUCUUCACAUGACAGAUCUGCUUUGGUGCUCUAGGAAAUGUUUGCCAUGUCCCCCCUGUCAUCCUGUACUCGAAAUUAGUUUGCAAAUUAGGUCAACCAAGUCCAUCUGGAAGUCCUUUUCCUCUUUGACUAAUAAAUAUUUAUUUGAUCAUGCAGCUUGACUAAGAGAUACAUGCACCUUGAUCUAAGUCAUGCAUAUGUCAACGUUUUCCAUUGAUCAUCUGUAAAUAUUUCUAGUUAAGAUUAAUUCUUUUCAUGGGCAUGAUGAAUCCAGACUGAUUUAGCUAAUCAAAUACAUCACCAGAUUAAUUAAGUUGGCUAGGUUUUAGUGUCAGAAAAGGCACAAUUGGUCAAGCAAUUACUCUUGGCAUCUCACAAAGGAGCAUAACUUGCAUCUUUCAGAUUGCUUAUGCUUUGCCAUAAUAGAGAUGCUAGAAUAGCUUUGGUGAAAAGCUACACUUUGGUGAACUUUUAUCAUUCAGAUAGGUUCCAUUACAAAGGUAUAAUAAAUUCAUUACCUACCAAGCAUCUAACCAUUGUUAGGCAAGUGCAAAAGUCGCAUUUCCAUUUAGGUAGGACUGAAAAAUAAAGGAACAAAACAGGUUCUCCAUAACAUCAUUAAGCAUCAGAAUAUUACUGUCGCAAGUGCUCAACUGGACAGUACAUAUCCUCUCCUUUUUGAACUAGUAGAUUCUGGAACAGACUUCAAAGACUCAGAAAGGAGCAACAUUCAAUUUGCAAGGAAUAAUAAUUUGAUUGCAAUGACUUUUUUUUUUGGAAUAUAUUGUCAAUCAGGUACCUUGUGAACUGUGCAAAGAAUUCUCUGUUCCUAUCAGAAAGAUCAAAAUUUUCUUGACGCAUGUCAUGGAACUUGAGAAGAUUUUGUGUUGUGCAAGGCAUAGAAGUUUCUGUACAAACUUCCUCCAUGUAAAUGUAGAAACUGCUAUCAGGGAAAUUUCUUGGUUUCACAUUCCUCUGAGAAAUGUAGGAAUUUGACUAUUCCAAGUUGUUCAAAGUCAUGGAAGACUUCAUUAGUAGUUUCCUACAUGGAAGUUUCUACUAGAAUACAUAUCUCUAUGCUGCCAUCUUGAUAUAUUCUUUUCUUUGUCUUGAUAGAUAUUACUCAGGACUGGUAUCUGGUAAGUUAUAUCCCCCAUUCCAGUAGAAGUCAGAUCACUCAAAAUCAAAGAUAAAUUAGAUCCACAAAUUUCCGUGAGCAAAAUGCAGAAAGAAAUAUAUGAGAGAUUUCCAGAUUUACAAGUGACCAAACAACAAAGCAUAAAGCAUACCUGAUCAGCUCUGGACACAGCACAUAAUAAGUAGAACCGUUCCAACUCAAAUGCAAUUGAAGUUUAUUUACCUGUCAAAGUGUGAUAAAAUGUUAAGGCUUAAAUGAUAGCGUAUCUUCAAAUGCUCAUCAGCCAACACCAUAACAGCUAACCAAAGCAGCAGAGAAAUUAUUGGAAGUCAAACAGCCCUACAUAAAACAAGAACAGACGAAGCACAAGCAAAUUUAACCUACAAAAAGCUAAUGAAAUAUUUACCGAUCAGUGUUUUGAAAAGUACUAGACGCUAAAAGGUGACAAAACACUGAGUUACCUAAGUACUCACAAAUAUAUAUAUAUAUAUAUAUAUAUAUAUAUAUAAUGAGAAGAGGGAGGAGAAAUUGGGUAGGAGGAGAUUGUUAGGUCUGAGAAGGAUUGCUAGCUAUAGUUGGAAGGGAAGAUUGUUAGAAAGAGGCUCGCGGUCCAACAACAUAAGGUAGAAGAGGCUUAUAGUCCGACAGCAUGGGGUGAAGGAGGCUCAUAAAAGGAUUUCGUUAGGUUCCUUUUACUAGGUUGGGCGUGCAUGAGAGAGGAGAGAGGAAGGAAGGGGAGAAUAUAUUGUGAUUAGUUGGCUAGGUGGAGCCAAUUAUAUCAAAAUGAUUCAAAGCAUACUCAGAUUAGAUUAGGCGCACACUUGAAUCACUAAUGCUUGGGCUUAGGCGGGCAGCUGAGUGGCGCCCUUUUUAAAUGCCUCGCCUUGACUUAUGAGGCACUCGAGCCUUGUCUCGUCCAAGUAUCUUUUGAGAAUAUAGAUCUUAAGUAAAAUAUAACUUUUUUUUCAAGAAAAAUCUCAAAACUAUCUUGAAUGUGAUGUAAUCUUAACACCAUUUAAGUUUUAUUAGAUUAGCCGCUAGCCUACAUAUUUAAUUUGAAAAUUUAAUAUAGGUUUUUCUUUACUAUUAAUUGAUGGUUGUUUGUUUAGGUUUUUCAUUGCACAUCAACUAUGACAAUACAAAGCAAUUAGGAUGCUUAUAAUGAAUGUCAUUGGAUUUAUGCAUGAGCUUACUCAUGCAUCAACUAUGACCAAACCAAGCCAACUAUGACAAUAACAAAACCAAGUCAUCUAAUACUAUUGUAUUGUCAUAAUUGAUGCAGAAAUAUUAAUUACUUUGUAACCAAACCAAAGACAACUAUGAUUACCAUAUCAUUACUCAUGCAUAAGAAGUCAACUAUGACCAAACUCAUGCAGAAAUCCAUCAUCGUUGGAUUUCUCCAUAAGUUUACGUAUGCAUCAACUAUGACCAAAAUAAGUCAACUACGACAAUAACCAAACCAAGUCACCUAAUACUAUUGUAUUGUCAUAUUUGAUACAGGAAAUAUUAAUUACUCUGUAUUUUCUUUAAUUCACCUAUGACCAACAUAUCAUUACUCAUGCAGAACACAAAAUCAAAUUGUAUCAGAAUAGACUUGUGAAAUUUAACUCUUUGAAUAAGAAAACUUUACGAUCAAGCCUAUUGAUGGAUCCCUUGAGAUCUAUAGGCCGAUCAUUCACAUGAGGGUAGGAUAUCUAUACUUCAGCCUUGUACUUGGCCCCUGGCAAGAUCUUCCUCUUAAAAUGGGGAGAGUUUAACUUGAUAAGAAAGAUAUCCUUCAUUCUGGCAUAACUCACUCAGGCACAGGUGAUUGUGAAAAGGAUUUUUUUAUUCCCUCUAAGGGGCUACUCAAAAUAUGAUUUUUAGAACACGGCGUGCAUUAGCACUACAACUUUCAGCUAUAGUUUGCUAGCUUGGCGCUAUUACUAUUUCUUGUAGGAUGACCACAUUUGAAGUAUGUAUGUCUUGUAAAGUGUGUUUUCGGGAUGUGGCAACUUGUUAAGGAGCUUUAGGCUUUAAGAAGAAGAAGAAGAAGAAGAAGAAGAAGAAGAAGAAGAAGAAGAAGAAAUGUAACGAUCUGAAACUGGCCUGGAUCGAUCUUGUGCGAUCGUCUGGCCUGACAAAUUCGAGACAACCAAGAUGGUAAGAUCUACGAGAAGAAAUCUUCGGCAGAUUCUUCUUCUCGCUGGCCACUCCCGUUUUCUUGCUAAUGGGACGCACUUCAACUAAACGAGACAAAUAAGAAAACAGUAAAAAUCCCAACUUUAACACAGAAAGGGGAAUCGGAGCAGAACUCGUACCUCUUCUAUUGCGUUGAUCCCAACUUCGUGCAUCGUCGAGUGCUUGCCUUGUAAGAAAUUCUAUGAAGUCAACUUGUGUUUCUAAAUCAUUGUAACAGAAACACAAUAAACUAAUGCGGAAACGAAAUAGCGUACCUUCAGCCAUUGUCGUCAAGAAUUUCUGCAGAGGUUUCUUCUUGAACUUUGGUUCUUCUCGGCUCAGAACUCUCGCUUUAGAUGGUGUAGGAAAGCCUUUCGCUUCAAAGAGAUGAUUGAGCCAAGGGACCAAAAUCCUCAUGUAUAUAUAGAUGUUCUCCCAUCAAGAACAUUUAUCAUCACCAACUCAUAACGUUCAAGAAUUAAUUCAAAUUUGUAACGUUUGGACCAUAAUGAAGAACUUAAUGAUAUUAAAUAUUUAAUUUAUUAAUAACGGUUUCAUGCAUAAAGAAUAAGAAACUGAAAUCAUUUAAACCAUAUUAAAUGAAGAAAUUCAUGAUAAUGAAUUAUGAAUCUUAAUGAGAACGGUUACGUUAUUAUUAAAUCAGAUAUUUAAUAAUAACCGUUACAUUCUCCCACUUGGUCCAUACGUUUAUCUUAAUAAUUUGAAUUAAUCUUUCUCGAACAACUUUAUUAAGAAAUAAAUACAUGAAUCAUAGCGAUAAGUCCUCUAAGAGCGAGUAUUAUCAUCCAUGUAUCACGAUGUAUUUAGUUUCUUAAUCUUAAUGUGGUAAUAUUACUUUAUGAAUAAACCUUAUAUUUAUUCUUGGUCCAACAACAAUAUGNNNNNNNNNNNNNNNNNNNNACAUGCCUGCCGUCCACCAAGACGGUGCCGCCGCCGGCUUGUUCGUGACCCCGCCGUGAGCAUCCGGCCGGAGGAGACUACAUCGGCGCAGGAUUCGAUCGAAGAGGGCGAUGGAAUUGGGAGGAGAGAUGAAACACCAGGAGAGGAAAGUGGGCCGUGUCACGGCGGGAAGAAAUCGAACUUUGGCUUGAGGCGAGUGUACUUUUUUUCGCUACCCGUCUGUUUACCGGUUGCAUUUAUCUCCUUGCGCUCCACGACAAACGGGCCGAUGUAUCCAAUCAUAAGGCAGGUAGAGACGAAGUAUAAACGAGUAACAAUGCAAUUUCUUUUUUUGGUACUGCGACGUACACGUUGCCAAUUGGCGGCGAUACCUGUGACUCGACAGAUGAACCUUCUCCAAUGAGGAGGCUGGUAGAUAAGCGGGUAAAGAUCGAACGCUGUAGUGCAAUAUUUCAGCAUACACCGUAAUUCUAAGUAUGUUAGAGAAAAGAGUAUAUAUGUUAUCUAUCUUGUAAAAAAGUUCUUGGAGCUUAAUAUUAUGGAUUCAGUUUAUCGAGCUAUUUAGAUGAAUGCAGAUCACAAAAAAUCCAGGCUGAUGAAGCAUCAUCCACUUGGCAGACACUGAUUGGCCGCAGAAGGAUAAGGAAAUCUAUCCACCCCAUCUUCCCCAUCCAAUAGCCUUGCCCUCGUUCUUGUGGUGCAUGGCCGUCUUCUACUCCCUUAAACGACACCAUAAUACCCUCACAAGUACCACAGAGAAGCUCCACCCCCGAGGGAGAAGGCGGAAAUAAUGGCUACCAUUGGCACCACAGCACCAACCUCAGCCUUCGUCCGCACCGCCGUUCCCAGGCGGCCGACCGCCGUCUCCUCGCCAGCGAUCGGUAGCGCUCUACACAGCCUUAGAUCCCGGUGCUGAUUCCUGCGUCGAUCGUCAGCUAACAGUGGUAGUGUACUUGUGUCGAACAGGUUUGCCUCGGCUGGGAGGCAGGGGCGGGAGGGUGAAGUGCUCGACGGAGGCGAAGCCGUCGGCCGGAGCGGGGGCGUCGAUGCUUGCGGCGGCGAGCGUCAUGGCGGUGUCGAACCCGGUCCUGGCGCUGGUGGACGACAGGAUGAGCACGGAGGGGACGGGGCUGAGCUUGGGGAUCAGCAACAACCUGCUGGGAUGGAUAUUAGUGGGUGUGUUUGCCCUCAUCUGGGCUCUCUUCUUUGUGUACACUUCCACCCUGGAGGAAGAUGAUGACUCUGCACUCUCCCUUUAAGCUCUCACGUAUAUAUAGGCUUUGCCAUGGAAAUCAUUGGAAGCAUGCGUGCUCGGUUGAGGACCGGUGUAUGAUCUGAAUGCUUGUAUGGAAACACUUCAUGCUGUUCCCUAAUUUUAAGUUCUAUUAAUCGUAUCGUAUGUGGCUGAUGGUAGAAUUAAUCGACUAUCGAGAACUUGUUGUGUUUAAAGCACUCUAUUACUUGCUCAACAAAAUUUUCUUGCAUUUCAUCUUCUGAAAUCAAAAGAACAAAAAGGAUGUUAUAAAACUGAACAAACAUUCAAAAGUUAUGGGAAAUCUCAUACAUAUUAUGGUGUCAUAUUUAGUCAUUUUUACAAAAACUAGAGGAACAAACUCGCAUAUAUUAUCCUAUCCCCUGUAAUUAAAAUUUUUAAUAUUUCAAUCUUUAUAUUUUCAAAAGUUAUAUUGAGAUCCCUAUAUUUAUGAAAGUAAAAUAUAUAAUCCGUUACUUCAACAAAACCAUUUAUUUUUAACUUUCGUAGGUAUAAAGAUCCCAAUGUAAUUUUAAAAAUAUAGUAAUCGAGAUACUACAGAUAACUAAUUGUAGGAGAUAAUCUGUAAUUAGCUUGAGAAGAAAAGUCACAUCCCACUCAAGUUUAUUCGAUCAAAUCUCAUCUUCCCACACUUAUUUUUGUAAAAAGAAAAUUAUUGUAAUGUGAGAAGAAACCUUUUAUUCCUCAUCAAGCAAAUGCAAAGAACAAUAAAAAAAAAAAGGGGUUCGUGCAUGUCAUGGAAAAGUGGCCGAUUUAGAUCAGGUUGGCUAUUUUUCGAAAGAAAAUUAGAUUGAAUUUUUCAAUUGCUAGACUGUACUAAAAUAUGACUAGAUCAGUGGACAAAGAUAUGACGGGCAAUAAUGUCAUGAUCGACAGUGAUUAGGACAUAUUUUUUGUGGAAGAAAUAUAAAUCAAUACCUAAUAAGAUCGAUUUUGAUUAUCAAUUUGACAGACAAAAACCGAUUUAUUGUGAUAACAACAGAAGAAAAGAAGUUUAAUUGAUCAAAGAAAAUUUUGAUCAAACUAUAUCAAGGCUAGUUGAUUGAUUGCGGGCAUGAUAUGCCUAUGAUCACAUUAAGAUGUCAAGUAUGGUAUAUACUUUUAUAUAAUAUCAAAUUUACAAGGAAUACUUUUUAUCUCGAUUAUCGUUACCUGUGUUAAAAAUGAGAAGUAGUGCUUUGGCCAUAGGUGAAUGCAUCAUGUCGAAAGUGGAUUAUCUAUUCAUGUCAAGUCCAUUCUAUUCUACGUGGUUCUUUUUUGUUUCUUGAUAGAUUCAUCGCAUAAGGGGAUGCUCCGAUCUGAUUGAACGCAUUAGCUGCCUUUUUGCCUAGGUUGGAUGCAUCACACUCGGGGAGACGUUUUCAUUGCAAUGGACACACCUUCAAUGUUUUUUUUGUCCAUAGUAAAUAAAUAUAUUACAUGCAAUGAGAAUAUUUUGAUCACGUUGAAUGUUUCAGAUAUCAUUUUAUCUUAAAUGAACGCAUCACCAAUUAUACACUUCUUCAAAUACCCUUUUGUACUAAGUGAAUUCAUCUUGUGCAAAUGAGAAGAGUCAUAGAUGAUAUUUGUUUCAAUGAGUUUUUAUUCAUGAUUAAGAAUUGUAUCGUAUAAAUUUAAUAUUGUAGAUUGUAUGUCAUAGAUUUUUAGUAAUUUAAAAGAAAAGAAAAGUUAUAGUUAAGAUAAAUGAAUAAAGAUCAAUCAAAGUGUAGGAUAAUUAAGAAACAAUCAAUAAAUAAUGAAAAUAGAGGAAACAUAUAAGAUUACACCAUUUGCAAAACAAUAAAAUGGAAAAAGAUCAUUUAAGAUAAAUAGAUACAUUCACGAGAAAGCUUUAAGUAACGCGACUAUAUAAGAUUAAUAUUAGAAGAAGAGACAAACUCCAAAUCAACGAUUAUAAUACGCCUAAACAAAGCUCAAUGUCGAAUUAGUGCGGAUCUUGUAGUCACAUUUGACAAGGCGUAUAUAAUUGUGGUGUUGAACCGAAAUGUCCGAUCCAAAUUUGAGAAAUUAUCGGAUCCGGAUCCACAAUUCAAACAUUCGAUUCGAUUCGACCCGAGUCUGGCUCGACGAAACCAUAUCUAGCUGUUCACUCACGUGCAUACCACGUGAGAAAUAUUCCCACAGGCGUUCGAUACGACCAUGCCGUUAAAAAGGAAAGAUUCGUGCACGUGACGAGGUGCAUUAUGGUAAAUUCGAGCCGUUUUCCCCCGUUCAUCGUAUCACGCACAUGACAAAAAUGGCGCGAAGUUGUCUCUGAUCUCCCGCCCCUUUCCGACAACGCUCCCUUCCUCUCUCCUACCCUAACGCCACGCACACACACACACACUCUCUCUCUCUCUCUCUCUCUCUCGCUUCUGAGCCACCCGAAGUCCGAUCCUUGGAUCAGCAUGCUCCACCAUCCGUCAGUCGACAGCGCCACCGCUGCGCCCAAGCUGGCGGCGCUACCCAAGAAGAGGGGCAGCUACAACUGUGGCCGCUGUGGCCUCCCCAAGAAGGGGCACACCUGCCCCUCCGCUGACGGCGGCCCCGCCCCGCUCCUCCCCCGAUCCGGCCACGGCCUCCGCCGCGCUCUUUUUUCCGACGAGGACCGGGCCUCCUCCGCCCUCGUUCCGGCGCUGGUGGACGAGGAGGUGGCCGGGACGCCGGUGCCGGAGGUGGUUGAGGAGGAAGAGAAGGAGGACGACGAGGUGGACUGGACAGAGGAGGCGAUGAUCCUACCGACGUCGUGCAUGGUGGAGGUCCUGAAGCGGCUGUCACCCAUGGAGCUGAUGCGGGCGGCUGCGGUGUGUCGGGGGUGGAGGGGUUGCGUGAGGAGGAUGUGGCGCUCCGCGGAGGAGCUCAGGCUUAGCGUUUCGCCUCGAUCGCAGAUCGGAUUCGUCGGAUCGCUGCUCCAAAAGUGCGCCGGAUUGUCGCGGCUUACGCUGAGAAUGGAAAGGUCAGGGCUUUCUCUGUGGGAAGGAAGAUAAUUGUGGAUUCCGCCACUGCAGCAAUAGAAAUUAAAAUAGACUAAUUUAUGGUGAUAAAAAAUUCUAACUUUUGUCCGAAGAUUGCUAAUAGAUGAACUACAUUAGGGUUUGCCUUAGGUCGUUGUUUUUUGGGUCAGAUCUAAGCUUCCAGAGCUUGGAUGAAUGAUCGAUAUGCGGCAAGUUAUGAUAAGAGUGAAAGUCCUCUACAUAGAUGGCUUUCUAAAUGAAUUUUUGAUCAGAAAUCAUUGAUCGUAGCUUUCAUUUUGUUUUCUUCAGAUCAAUCCACGGAGGUAAGUCGGGCACUGUGUUCUAGAUUGCUAUUUCACAUGUUAUGAUUAAAUUUGAGGGAGCUGUGAGAAGAAAAUGGUCGAGAUAUGGGUUUUACUUAACGAAGGAGUGGAUGUAUUCCUUUUAUCCUGCAAGACUCACUCUCUCAUUUCAAUUUGUCUGUGAGAUCUGCAGAUCCUAUGGCUUUUACGUUGAUGUGUAUAUGUGUUUUAAAUCGGGAGGGACGAACAUGCAUCAGCAUCUGUGAUAGAUCAGGAAGGCCCUGUCGAUAUGCCUUUGCUGAUCUAUUAACUUGGCUGUAUAAUUGACCAAAGGUAGGACAUUGUUGAUCUGCAUCGUGCUGGGAGUAUGUAGACCUUAAUACCAUUGGCAUACUACAUUUUGCAACUUAUGUUUCUUUCAAUUAUGUUUCCUCGUUUCUUUCUUUCAGUCUUUUGUUUGUGUCGGAUCUGGGAUCUACAGAUCUGUGCUGAAUGAUUGAUAAGUACUUAAGAUAAAUGUUGACUUCUUACUAUCCUUAUAUUCUUUUUCGUAUUGGCUUUUACAUUUGCCUUUUUUUAUAAUAUGUAUAAGUGAAACACAAAGAAUGCUGUGAUAGCUAAUUGCCUAUGACAAAUAUAUAUCUUUGAAGGUGCUUGAUGGGGCUAGAUUAUAAAUGAUAUCUAAUUGUUUGCGUUGCUAUUUUGUAGCAGUAUACGUGUGACAGUUAAGUAGGACGUUGCCUGAUGGAAUACUCUUUUUUUCUCUUAUUUUGCAGUGAUGUUGAUGCAACAAUGCUAGCCUGUGUUGUGUUCUCACUGCCUAAUCUAGAAGCUUUUGAGAUAAACAUGACCAAGAACACGGUCAACCGGAUAACUGGGUAAGCCACUGACUUUUAAGCACAUUCUGUCAUAUGAUUUCUUCAUCUAGCUGUGUUGGACUUUGAAUAUUCAUUUUUUUGUAGUUUCUAACGUGUCUCAUCCGUAUCUUACUACUCUUACCUGUUCGAUCUUUUAGAUGUCUCAUCACUGUGAUGUUACUGAUCUAAUACAUUGGCUUGGGGACUCAAUGCCCAUUUUUCUUCAGAAUGACAUGUUCUAAUUUGAUUUGGAUGCAUUUAUCAUCUUGGAUCUGGAUUUGUGCACAAUCUGCAUAUAAGAUUGUGCAACACUGCUAUAUAUAUUUUAAUAAAGGUCAUGGCAUGUGUUUCACACACACACACACACACACACCUAUCUGUGUACAAUUUUUUGAUUUGCUUUCCAAUAUAUUUUAAUAAAUUCAACCAAAUUGAGGUCCAUUAUUUGAUUUACUUUCCAAUUUCAUAUGCAAUGGCGUACAAUUUUUCUUCCGAAUGUUUAUAUGCCACCUAUCUGUCCUGCUGUAGGAAUGAGUUGAGUCGUUUUGUUUCUGAGAAACGAUGCCUCACGACUCUUAAAGUUGAAGGUUGCACCAACAUUGGAUUUCUCAAUAUCUCUUCAUCAAGUCUAUCGACACUUUGGCUAUCAAAUCUUUAUUGCAUUUCAAAAAUGGUAUGCACUUCUAUGUUUUCUGCAACAGUUAAUCUGGGUUUUAUUUAUGUCUUUUUGCAUGUGUUCACUAACGUUCAUUCUUGAUAGGUCUUUAAAUGCCCUAAUCUGAGAGAGAUUUCUCUUGAUUUUACUCGACAAGAAAAUGAUUCGACAGAUCUUGUUACAAUGAUGGAAAAUUUGGGGAGCAGCUGUCCAAGGCUAACAAAUAUCCAUAUUGCAUCAAUACAACUUUGCAAUGAAGCUGUUCUUGCUCUUACAAGUGCAAACCUGAGGUAAGUAAUAUGCUCUAGAAAAGUUACUUAAGAUGCUUGAUACAUGACACUGGUGCUAAUGUCAAAUGUAGCAGAUGUUAAGGCUCAAGUAUAAGGAAAUUUAAUUUAUACAGAUUCAUUCAUCUGGACCAGAUGAAAUGGCAUUCCAACAGCAUUUUUUGUUCUACUGCUCUUCAGUUCAUCAUUUCAGUAGAUUGAUGUGUAAGUUUUAUUUUCUCAGGUGUUUGCGUAUGCUAUCAUUGGUUCUUGGUUCCAGAAUCACAGAUGCUGCUGUGACUUCUAUAGUUUCGUGUUACACAAGUCUAGAGUUGCUUGAUUUGAGUGGGUAUGCUUCAUUCUGUUAUCAAAGAGUGCUUAAAUGUAGCUAUGAUCUUUAAUGCGCUGGAAUAAAGUUAACUGUAGAAUCAAUUUUUGUAUGCUAAUUGAACUCAUGCUGCUUUAAAGCUUCAUAAACUCACGUGUUGCUGUUUUCUUGCUUUUACAUGUUGAUCUGUAAUUUUUCCAGGUCAAGCAUCAGCGACAGUGGGAUUCGCAUGAUAUGCAAAGUGCUUCCUGAGACUCUAUCCAGACUCCUGCUUGCACUUUGCCCAAAUAUUACUUCGAGUAAGCAUUUGUUCUUCCAUUAUCACUUUGCUGCUUGUAUACUCUGUACUGCGAGCAUUAUCCUAUCAUGUUAGUUGGCUAUAAUCGUACCUGUUGCUUUUUGUCCGUGUCCAUACCUUUUCAGGUGGGAUCCAGUUUGCUGCAGUUCAGUUACCUCUUCUUCAGCUUAUCGACUGCGGGAUGAGCAUAAGUGAUACUGGUUAUCAUUAUGAAAGUUCCCAAGAAAAACUAUGUCCUAAUAUUGAAAGGAGUGGAGAAUAUACCAUGUGUCAGAAAUUAUCCACCAUGAAGUCACAACGGAUCUACCAAAAACUGAUUAUAAAACAUGCAAAUUUGAGGAAGCUCAGUUUAUGGGGUUGCUCGGGUUUGGAUGUAAGUUAAAAUUCAAAAUAAUCUAGUAGAGGCAACUCUAGAUUCUGUAUAUUUUUUCUUUCUUGUCAUACCUUUUGAACUGUCUGCAAUAUCGUAGGCUCUAUACUUGAAUUGCCCAGAGCUUAAUGAUCUGAAUCUUAACUCAUGUACAAACUUGCAUCCAGGUAUUAUGCUGUCAUUGACCUUUUUGAAAUGUUAUAAUGACACUUGGUUGCUAACAAGUUUUGUAAAAUUUAUCAGAGAGAUUGUUGCUUCGAUGCCCUAAUUUGAAAGAUAUACAUGCUUCUGGAUGUCAGGAUAUGCUAAUUGGAGCAAUACGAAAUCAGGUACCGAAUUUGUAAGAUACAAUUAAUUCAUUUGUGACUGACAAAGAGGGCAUUGUAUUGGGUGGAUUGGAAACAAAAUUUCAACUGAACUACCCUACACAGUUGGUGCAAAUAUAAAAUGUACCAGCAGCUGAGUGUAUUGUGUGUUGUCAGAAAGCCUGGAAUUGCAUUGGUUAUAGAAAUCACUGAACUACAUAUGACCCAAUAAAUAGUUAGUUGAAAAGGAAAAUUCUGUUGCAUAAACCUUAAAGAGAUAAUAUUGUGAAGCCAAAAGAUUUGAGUCUCAAACUGGCCGACAUUCUAUAACAAUGUUAUGAUGCAGAAGAAAACUGAACAAGCCUUCCACAAUAACUGAGGACCUUCUCAAUUUGAGGUGUUCAUUAGCAGGUGUAAACUAAUGUUGUACACCUAGUACAUAGAUAGCUUGUCUUCAUGAUUGUUUUCCUGUGAUGGAGUUUGAUAAACUUAUCAGGCUUUAACAUCUUCUUUGAACUUAACUGAGAAAAACAGGGUUGUUCUGAUUCUGCAUGUUGUAUCUUCUUUUUGUUUGUCGUGUCUGAAAAAUUCAGACAAACUCCUGUUUUCUUUCUUCAGUUGUGUUUAGUAGAUGUGUUUUUUUUUUUCAGUUCAAAAUUUUGUAUCGAAAGGGUAUUGGGGAUCUCACUCCUUUCUUUUACAUGCAUUUUAUCUGAAAAACUUGCUGUGGUCACUUUGCUUUAAUCCAUCCCCCUGCUGCAUUGUUUAGCACUUAAAAUUAAAAAAAAAUCCUCUGCAUUUCUCUUUUCACUUAUUUCCGGUACUUGUAGGUACUGAAUGAGUUUGUUGCUGUUGAAAACCAUUUACCAUGUAAGAGACUAGCUGAUGGAUCAAAAAGGGUCCAGGUACCACUUUUCAUUCAGCAGGUGAGUGAUUAGUAUUUCUAGAGCUACACUCGCUUCUCAACUGUCUGGUGUUCUUUUUAAUGUAUCUCCAAUAGACUGUCUAAUGUUUGAUGCUGCUUGCAGAUAUCUGAUGGCAAGAAGCAGAAGAGAAGACAGAUGACGCAAUGCAUUGUUCAUCAUGUCUAAUCAGCAACUAGUAUAUGUAUCUGUUAGCCAAUAAUAGCAUACAAAAUCAAUUAGUUUCUUUUUGUUAAGCCUUAAUCCUUUUUGCUGUAUCAGCCAUACAAUUGGGCUGCUCUAAUCAGUAUAUGUCUGCCUUUUUAGAAUAGACUCUUGGAGUUUGGGGGGGUUGAAAAGGAAUAAGAAUGCUUACGAUAUCUUACAUUUCACUUGAAAAUAAAUGUUGAUUCAAUUAAACAUGACAAUAGCCUCCAAAGGUUUUAGCAUCAGGCAAGUUUAACUUACCACUAUGAUUUUUCAGCUUUAGAUUUGGUUUUUUGGUUUUUCAUCCAGUGUAGGUAAUGUAUAAAUGUUGAAUGGAAGCUUCUACCCUUGAAAGCCAAACAAACUUACUGUACCUGUACGGUUUAUAAUUAAUUCACUUUCUCAGAUUAUCAUAGAUUGGCUAUCUUUUAUUUCAGUUGUAUCAAUGUCAUGAUUGUUCAUUGUUUGAUGAUAUCACAUUGUCAUGACAGAGCAGAAAACUCGAUCAGCUUCUACCUUUGCAGAAUCAUCAUCUCCACCCACUGAUGGAGUAAGAGCAUGAUGUGUCAUUUAAGAUACGUUUUUCAGAACACACUAUUUCUUGCACCUUGAGUUUCAGCAAUGCCAAUGAAUCUGUACUUUCGUUCCCAUCCAAUCAAUAUGCAUUGGUAUAUGUUCAAUCUUUUCAAAUAAGAUAGAUCUUUGGUGUUACAUUGUGCCACUUAUAUUCUGAUGAGGCUUAUGAUAAUGUAUCUUCAACUUUAUACAAUCUGCAUUAUUGGGAAAACAAUGAUCCUCAUUGUUGUUGCUCAUUCUGAUACUGAUUGAAGUAAUUCUUUUGGUCAUCACAAAGCCAAUAUGUAAACUGUGAGCUCAAAGUUUGGUUUUCUAGCUGAAUAUGUGCUAGAUUUGUUGACUUCAUGAAGUCAGUCAGGCUUAUGAAUGCCAAAUUUGGCAACUUGGGGACCAAUUUUUUGAGGAUUUCUUUAAGGGAAUUGUUGAUAAACUACAAUCUUCUUUUUGUUUAGCAACUGGUCAUCUUCAAGUAAUUUCGAUAAGUGUUUUUUGUCAUUAGUUAUGACUUUGUACUUUCAUUAUUGGCAGUUUCCAUCCCUCCUUCUCGAAACACCCACUAUCAAAUAUCCUAAUUUGUUUUUUGUAUUUUAAAGAAUAAGCAGUGAAAAGGAGAUUAGAUUGAAGAAUCUUAGUUAGCCCUGCAUUUGUUAUUCUUUUUCAAUCUUUCUUAAUCCAAAUUGAGUUGUCUAUUUAUCAACAUUUAUAUGUUUGUUAUGUUAAGAGAAAAAAUGAUUCUGGAUCUCCUUUAGCAAGCAAUUAGCUAAUCACAUAUGAGCAACUUCAUGUUUCAAUCUUCAACAAAAUUACUUGCUUGUAAGAAGCUUUUGCAAGAGCAGAAUCAACUCCAAACAUGCCAUACAAACUAUAUAAAACCAACAACAGAGCUCAGCAGUCACAGUUAAUAAUUCAUGCAUGACUAUAAUCAAAGAAAUAAAUUUCCCAUUAUCACAAUAUUCGAAGUUGGUAGAAUGUCUAAAGAACACUAGCAAUUAAUUCUCCAAGCACCUAAUUCAAAGCCAAUUACCCACAGGAUUCGCUCAACCUAUUUGCUUCCUAAUUCAAUGAAUCAAUAAUAUUUCUAACCACAACCCAUCCCUGUCAGCUUUAGAUCUGUUCCUCCACAGGACCACAUGAAGGUGGCAGACUUCUUUCUCGUUGACCCAUUCAUCCCCCAUAAGAGAUGUUGAAAUGGUUGCAAGGUUGGGGAACACUCUCCUUGCUUUGAUCAAAUCAUCGCACUGUGCAUGUUCCCCAUCGACAGCUCUCAGCCUUAAAUUACACCUCCAUCACUGGCAACAUGGCUUUGCUAACGCCAAGAACAAAUCAAGGGUGGGGGGGAGGGGAUUCGCUGGGAAGGUUUGCAUUAUAAUUGCAGGAAUAAAAGCACACACUGCACACCAACAGCACUAACACGUAGAAGAGUUUAUUGGACCUGCACACACACCGGUAAUAAACAAUGCAGACAGAUUGAGAUCAUAGCCAACAAGCUAACACCGCUUCAUGUCCUUGGCACAUAAGAAAACCCUCUCACACAGACAACUGCACGUAACAUGUACUGCGACCACGAUAUAGAAAACACAGCAGACAGCAUGGAUAUGCUCGUCCCAGAUCCGGCGACCACGCCUCGUGUUGGCGUUUUGACUGUGAUCAAGAACCAGCUGUUAUCACGGCUUUUGAUUCCUCAGCUUCUACUCUUGCACUUCUCCAUUGCUCUUGGUGCUGCGGUAAGAAGAAGCACGGUCGACUCAGAAGCAAUCCACAAAGAGAGAGAGAGAGAGAGAGAGCACUGACCGAGUCCUAUGGCUUCCGAUCCUUUCAUUAUGCGUAAACGCUUGCAGGAAUCCACAAACAUCCUGGAUUAUUGAUUUGGCGAGAGUAAAUGAUCCAGAUCUAUAGCAGUAUCGAUGGGAAGAAGAUGAAGCGAGUCUUACUCCCAUGGAACAUCUCCGACGAGCAUCCAGUCGCCAUCCUUGUCUUCAUAAGUUGGCACGUACUCAGAACCAUUGAUGAGAUCCAUCAGCUUCCCUUCAUUCGUGAAGUCCCUCCCGUUCAUUCCUUGAGAGCCACAGUUUGCUGUGAUUGGAAGAAACAUGCAACAUAAGAUGAUGAUUUCUCUUUACUCUCGUCUUUCCUUUUUCCAGCUUAAACAAACAGCAGAUGAUGAGAGCUGCAGAGACAAAACUCUAUUUUGAUCUACCGAGCAUGAGAAUUUUAUUGUGGCAUGGGAUACAGUAAUGGCCUCCAUGACCGAGUGGGUCACCAACCCAUGUGGGGUGCAAAGCUCUGCAACUCACAUGGGCACUGUCUCUCAUACACGUUAUGAUUCCCCGAUAGACAUGAUCGGGACGUAUCCACCGGGGUAAUUUGUACGCUACGACGCAUGGUGUCAAGGCUGCAGCCACACUUACCACUGGUGAAGGAGCUAAACAUCUUCUCCAAGGCCAUGGAGAGCUCUUGAUAGCUCCUGUACAUUUUGAGGUCAACCUUACGUAGGUAUGGUGCCCCAUCCAUGCAAACCUUGACAAAGGCAGCCGUGUUGCCCGGCUUCUCUCCUUCCUCCUUGCUCGCCUUCUCGGAUUGGACAGCCAGUAUGUUCUUCCUGUAUGAUCUAACUGGUGGCCAACCCACAACCUGUGCCCUGAGAAUAAAUACGAUUGCAACAUAUGAUCAGUGAUUAGUAGCAGAUAAUUCCUCAUCUUGUGAAAAUAUCUCGAAGGUCUCAACUAUUUCUAUAUCUUCUGUUGUCUCUUUUUUUUGGUAUCUUCAUAUUGACAGUGAAGUUUCCUGAGAUGUACCUUUUUUCUUUUUUUUUUGGUUGACAAGAAGAUGAUAACAUUAGAACAUGUUAUGCAUGUGUCCGGCGGCCUUAGAAUCUCCAGUAUAUGUUUGUCACUUCAUUCAAAAGCUGAAUGCUUUUCUCUCGUGGCAAGCUUAAAAAGUUUGAGUAGAACUUCCAAAGCAAGACUCUCAUGGAGAGAGAGAGAGAGAGAGAGAGAGAGAGAGAGAGAGAGAGAGAGAGAGAGAGAGAGAGAGAGAGAGAGAGNNNNNNNNNNNNNNNNNNNNAGAGAGAGAGAGAGAGAGAGAGAGAGAGAGAGAGAGCAUAUUCACAGAGGAGGUGCUCUCAUCCUUGGUUCCACGAAUGGAAUAUUUAUCAUGCUUGUCUUUGCUAAGAAAGAAAUGAAGAACAGCAAGGCAUGGAUUCCCAUCAUAUCAUGGAAAAGACAAGACCUACACACACCAUACUUCUGUUCAUCCGUUCCAACAAUAAAAGAAAAAAAAAUCAAAACCAUUAAAUCUCAGAAUAAUUUUAUGAACAUGGAAAUAUCCUAUGAACUUAUAUCAACAAACCCCCCACCCCCCAAAAAAAAAAAAAAAAAACAAACAAAACAAAACCAAAGAGAGAAUAUUGAGAGACUUACUUCGGAGCACGAGGCCUCUCGGGGUCAGUGGCAGACGCAGCAACGUUCUUAUGGCUCGGCGACCUCUUCAUCUUCUCCGCCGCCACCUCCUCCACGUCCACCGUGGUCUGAAGCUUGAGCUUCAGAUCGACAGUCUCCUCAAACGCCCUCUUGCCUGAAUUCUUCGUCGCAUCCCCUUCUCCUCCUCCUCCGCCGGCACCACCGCCUGGCAGUCCCAGGCGCAGCUCCGUCUCCUCCAACCCCAAGCUGUAAUCUUCCAUUACAGCCUCCUUCAUUCUCCCAAGCUUCACCUUAGACUCCUCUCGAGACUACUCUAUAUUUAGAGCCCGAAACAGAUAGAGAGAGAGAGAGCGAGAGAGAGAGAGAGAGAGCAGCGGAGGCAGCACUGCGGCUAAUUAUGUGGGAACUUUUACCAUGGUCGGUCGUACGACCGAACCCGGCAUGGGACCGACACGUGUCCGACGGAUCCGGUUGCCGCUGGGUGACGCACGAUGACGUCGCCAGCUGCUUCCCGUCGUGGAAGUGCGCGCCGCCGACUAAAUCGCCGAUCCCGACGGCGCGGAGAAAGGUAGUGCAGUCGGGGACCCGCAUGUCACACGGCGCCGUGUCGGCUGGCGAUUCGGGACCACAUAUCCGACGGCCGAGAUGGCAUCUCCCUCCGCGGGUAAAGUCCCGGGUCCCAGAACUGGUGGGGCCGUUAAAACGGUGGCACACCCAGGGGGCAUGUGCCGAGAUUCGUGCAAAAAGACAGAAAUAAAUGAGAACCGUCCAUAUGAAGUUGGAUUUUAAUUCCUUUAAUGCUCAUUUAAGCUUAUAAAUCUUAGAUCAAAAUGGCCUUAAUGCUGAAUACUGCACGAAAUGUAGAGAUUUAGUUCUCAAUUAACCGAGGGCGGUGGAUGGAAUAGAGUUGCAAUCAGAGUAAUCAUCUCUUGGAGAGGAAUAUUUCAAGUUGGGUACAAGGAAUAUGAUAGCUAGAUUUUAGCUCAAAAGGUGAAGGUUUGAGCUGUUUGAGUUGAAGGUUCUCAAAGUCCACUCCAAAGGCACUGAUUCUCCAAAAUAUUGAUGGAUAAAACUUAUGUAAGAUUGUAUUCAUUUUAUAAAUUUCCAGAAAUCUAUUUUGAACUCAAUUUUGUGUUUUUCUCAAAAUUAAUUGGGAAUCAAUUGUUGUACAAAUCUUUUGUUUGUUUAUAUCAUAUUGCAUGUAGUACUCUACUUUGGAUGCUUCAUGUGGCUAAUAAAGUCUAGCAUUGUUGGGUUUACAAGUGUAUUAAGAUUUUUAGAUAUGUGAUUGGGAAUGUUAGUAUGAGAAUGAGUCCUUGUAAGUUUUAGUACAUGAGAGCAAGAUGUAAAAAAUAAUUUGGGUGCUUUUGGGUUUCUGUUUAGGUGUUUAAAAAAUGUGCUCUCUAAGAUUUCUAAAGAGGAUAUUCUCUAGGGUUUUUAGAAAGUAUGAGAAAAAGGUAUAAAUCCUUUAGAGUUUAUGCAAAAUGAUAUAGAAGAGGGGUUAUGCUUGAGUAAAGAUAACUUAAGGAUCUUAUAAUUGAUCUCACAUGAUAAAGAAUUUAAUUUUCUCUGUUGAUGUAGUUGAAAAGUGUCGAACUAUGUUAAUCUUGUGUUGGCCUUAUAGUAUGUUCUUGAUUAUUCAUCUAUACAUUUUUAUUUUGGUUUUGGAAGUAUUCUUCCCCUCCCAACAAGUGGUAUCAAUAUUCAAAAGAUUUGAUAAUUAAAUAUUCAAUAAAAAUAAACGAUGAAAAUUGAAAAAGUGUGGAUCAUAAGUAUUUUCUCGACAAAAAAUCCUAAAGCUAAUGUGGAUAAAAUAAUUAUCAAAGGAGAGAUUAUUGGGAUUGAUAAGUAUUUUGAGAUUCUUGGAACUAGUGUCCUAAGAGACAAUGAAUCAUAAUACGAGAAAGAGUCCUCGUGAAGGAAGAAAAUCCUAAUAAUUAAGGUUUAAUUUUUCUAUAAAUAUCUCAUGUAUUCUUAGAUUUUGGUUAGAGAUAAUAAGAUGUAAGGAAUACCUCUUAAGUUUUUCUUUAGGGUGUCUAGAGAAAAUGCUUUCUAGCGUAUCUAGAGAAGGUGAGAGAAAGGUCAAUUUUUUUUUAGAUUUAUAUGAAAAAAUAUACAAGGAAAUUAAAUGGUCCUCUAAUUGAUCUCACAUGAUAAAUAAUUAAAUAUUUUUCAUAGAUAUAAAUUGAAAGGAUCAAUCCAUAUUAAUCUUACAUCGAUUUAUUAUUAUUAUUAUUAUUAUUAUUAUUAUUAUUAUUAUUAUUAUUAUUAUUAUUAUUAUUAUUAUUAUGCUUCUUCUUCUUCUUCUUCCUCUUCUUCUUCAGUUCCAUAUUGUUAUAUUUGUGUAACACAUUAAUUACCUUUUCAACUAAGUCUAAUGCAACACAACUCUUUCAUUUGACUUUAUCUUUGAUGCAAAGCAUUUCCAAAAAUCGUAUGAAGAAGCGAAACUUGUGAAGAACCAUAUAUUAUACCCAAAAUUAAAGACAAAAGCAUGUGCACAUACUUAUCACAAAACCAAUUAACUUUGAGACAAAGGUAAACAUGUCGGUUGGAUGGACGAUAUAUAUAUAUAUAGGAAAGCCUAAAGUCACUGACCUCAUAUAUAUAUAUAUAUAUAUAUAUAUAUAUAUAUAUAUAUAUAUAUAAUAUUUGACUUGAACAAUGAUAUGGAAGAUUGUUGAGUAUUCACAAUGCCUUACUAUAUUUAUGAUUUGCCAUACAAAAAAAAUUCUUUUAUAGUCUAACAAGGGACCUCUCACCCAAUUAGCUUAUAUGCUACCUAAAAACUAUUAAGGUCCCGACACGAUAAAAAUGACCUCUCGAUCGAUCGGUUCAUCGGCUAUAAUACCACUCUAUAUGAAAAAUAUUCCCUAACGAUUGAUGAUGUCAAUCUAACCUCAUAAGAUUGGCAUUAUAAGAAGAGUUUGAACCUUCCAAAAGUUUGGCCCUUUACUUUUAUUUUACGUAUGAACUAUCGCAUGUUUACAUUCUUUAAUUGGCUGACCAAAUCUUGGACUUAAUGUUUGAUAAGACUCACCUCGAUCUGACCUCAUCAGAUUAGCAUUACCAUUAGAAAGAGGGAGUUUGAGAUGAAUUCUCGCAUGUUUCCGUUGGCUACGUGACCAAAUCUUGGACUUGAUAAGACUUUGGAAUCUAAUUGACAGACAAAUGCUUCAUCUUCUUCCGUAUGUCUUACUAAAUAUGCUGCUCGGCCACGCUGCAUAUGUUAGAAGACCAAACAAACACCACGCUUUUGUCUACUUCUGGUGCCGACAGGGAAAGAAGAUUAUGCAUGAGCUGGUCAAUGAAUUUACUGGCAUAAGAUUAACGAGACUAAACUUGAUCAUAGAAGGAGAAGAAAUCACCGAGAGUUUAGUGUAAGAAGAGUCACAAAAGUUCGGGACUGUGGACUUCUCUCCCACUCGAAGCGAUGUUCGAGGAAGAAGGUCCAAGGACAGCUCACGUGCAUGUUGACACGAAGUUGCAUGCCUCCGCUUAAUUGCUUCUCGUCCGUCUUCCUGUCCACAUUGGCUGGUCAGCGAGACAGCAGAGCGUGUUUGUAGCCCUCUUGGCUACACGUUGCAUGCUUUGUUCACAUCGACGUAGCCACAGAAACACGCAGCGAAGCUCACCGUCGUGGUAGCAGGCAUGGAUCUUGCUGCAUCAUCACAAGUGUCAACCCCGAGAAAUAUCUGGGGACCAGGAGUCGAUGAUUCGGUGGCAUGGGCUGGUGCAGCCGUGUGAGGUGUUCCUGUGACCUACAGCAAUAAUGUGGAGAACAGCCUUGCUGCGGUUGUAAGGUGUGCAAUUUGUAGAUACGUACCAGCCGUACUCGUCUGUUCUACUCCCCAUCGAAUCUGAAAAGAGAGAAGAUGAAGCCAAACGCAUCUGUGGGGUUAUUAGUUUUGAGAGUAUUAACGUGGUUAGCAGAUACAUGAGCUUAGGGUUUUUCUCGCGGUCAGAAGACAGCGGUGCUGAUGAACAGCAAGUAAACAGUUGGUUUCUGAUUAUGAGAUUGAGAGGACGGAAUAGGGUUUUCGGGUCCGCCAGCCACCCGUGUGGCUCGUCGACCUCCUGAUCUCUCUCCUUGAUUAUGGACAGCGUGCGUGCAUGUGGGUGUGUUAGCGCAGGAUGACAAGGACCUUCAAGGCAGACAAGGAAAGGCAUUUAACUGCUGCUGCGCCCGACGAUUUGUGAAGGCAGGCAACACUUCAAUGAGACGUUGCCUCUGUCUUCAGCAUUAUAUGUGUGUGUGUGUGUGUGUGUGUGAGAGAGAGAGAGAGAGAGAGAGAGAGAGAGAGAGAGAGAGAAUCAUAUGUCAUAUACAUCUCUUUCGGAUGAGCUGGAGGAUAAUUACCUAUUGAAAUUGCUGUAGCUUCCACGAAAGAGCAUGAUGUUUCCAUCAACUGGGGCAAACCUAUUGGUGGUAUGAGGCAAUGAUACCAAGGAAAUCUCCGUUGGUUUCCAUCUACCAUGCAUGCGUAUCCACUCGAUGCAAGAGAAACUGAGUGCAGAGAUGGAUCAGUGGCAAUCAACAACGCUGCACACGGGGGAAAUGAACACGGAGGAAGAUAGCAAAUGGUUGGCAUUCAAUGAAGGUCUCAUGUCACACAUUAGUGCUGUUGGUUGCACAUCGCUGCCUCCCAUGCUUGCCGAUCCUUCCCAACAUCUGCAUUACUUUCGUGUUGUAGGUGCACUGUUAACUCACCCGAGUUGAUUGGUGGUCCAAGUUUUGGAUAAGGAAGAGAUGAACGAAGAUGGAUUACCCACUAAUCGCUUCUCUGUAGAAGAUUUGUGUUGAUGAUAACACAGCCUUGAGAAUAACUUCCGACGACCUGCAACUACUAUCUCUAUCAGCUUUCGGCACUAAUUAUGAGUCCUCACCGAGAUGACAUGAAAUGCAUCAUCUCACCUAACUUCUCUCCAUGCAGGGCAGGGCUAGCGCGAGAGUUUUCGGACUUUGUGCUUGUCUGAUUGAUCUCCCAUGCGGUUCAGUAAACAAAAAGGAAAUUGAUCAAGCAACAACUAUUCAGAACAAAAAAAAUCUUCUAUCCUGAUCCAAGAACAAGACCGAGCAAAAAUUUACAGUGUUCUUGGUGCUGAACCAAAUAGAUGGUCCUCAUCACGCUUGUUGUUCCUGUAAACUAUGCCUAUGUCGAGACAAAAUCUACGGUAUUUGUACAAGAAUCAUAAUAUCCUUUGUCUCUUUACUGCAUGGUUUUCUCUCUCCUUUGAAACAAGCCGAGCUCCAAAUGCAGAGUUUGGCAUGAUUCGGAGAGUAAACUACAUCCUCAGUAUAUUUGGCAAGAGGAUAGGAUUUGAUGUCACUGCUCCUAUUAUUACUUUCAGUUUUUGACGAGGGUUGGCAGCCCCACUCCUGCAAUUUUUUGGCAGCUCCUCCUAACAAGGAGAAUAUUAUUAGGCCCCCCAAGCUCAUCGGUGCUGGGGGGACUCAUGAACUUCCCAAUAAUUGCAUGUAGAGAACAUGAAAACAUCACCAGACUGUGAUUGUCUUCGCAAGAGAACAAACUUGGAUGAUCUCCCCUUCCAUUUCAGUGAAAUGAAACUUACUGUUUCUGAGAAUUAGCAAGAUGCUCUUAAUAAUCAUAUCUAAUCAUAUUAAUUAUCAUGAUUCAUGGAUAACCAUGACUGACAUGUCAAGAAGAUGAUAUGUCAUCAAGUCCUUGACUGGUAGUUGAUAGAUAAUUCGACAUCAGCAUUCAUUGCUACGACUUGAUUGUGUCCAUCAUCGAGCUUCAUUUGUUGCAUGAUAUUAAAUGUGAAAAAGAAUAAAAGUGAUAUUAUUAUAGAUUUUUAAGACAGGUUUACGAAAAUAAAAUAAGGGUAAAAAAAAAAGAAAAACACGCAUAGAAUCGACAUUGUCUUCUCCACAUAUCCCACACGAAUCAUCAAAUGUAAUAAUGUUUAAUGUAUCAUGAUAAUUAGGUGGUGUUUGGCCUACCGACCAUGCACUAACAGCUCAUGUGCUCCUCCAUUAUGAUAUGGUCCAAGGAAGGCCGCGAUGGUUGCCUCCACCACAUGGCCACACAUGGGCUGCCGGACAAAUCGACGGCAGUGAUCUAUCCGGCACCGCCAUACGGUAAAUCUCGGUCGCACGAUCCCGACCGGGCCGGCCUCAGUCUGCCCUAAACUCGACCGGCAUCGUCCUCGUGGCUGUCCUCCUUCCAACCGACCGCCCUAGUUGUCAUUGCCCUCGGUUUCCCAUGCAUUAAAGCCUGGGAACAGUUUGCCUUCUUCUUCUACCCUCUCUCUCAUAUUAGUCUAUAAAUCUUUAUCGUUCCCAAAGACUUCCCUGUGAAGUCAUCGACAAGCUCGUUUGAAUCCUCUUCUUUGGGUGCAAAGACGCAGAGGUCGCACAAGUUUACGUACAUGGAAGCUGCGGGAGAGAGCCUGAGAGACACCGAGCUGAGGCUCGGAUUGCCAGGCACCGACGCGCCUGAGAAGCCGGCGUCGACUGUGACAAGGGGCGGCAAGCGAGCCCUCCCGGAGGACGACGAGGAGGGUUACGCCAAGAGCAACAAGUCGUCGUCGGAGGAGGAGCAGGGGGAGGGCGACCUGUGCUGCCAAGAACCCCCGGCGGCGAAGUAAGUUCGCGAGAAUGAGUGCUCUCGAGGUGGAAGAGACUAUGUGUGUUGUGUUGUUGAUGGCUGUUCAUCGACGUGCAUGGCAGGGCGCAGGUGGUUGGCUGGCCGCCCAUCCGGUCGUACAGGAAGAACAGCCUUCACGCUAGGAAGGUGGAGGGGGAGGCCGCCGGCUUGUACGUGAAGGUUAGCAUGGACGGGGCUCCCUACUUGAGGAAGAUCGAUCUCAAGGUCUACAAGGGUUACAAGGAGCUCAGAGAAGCCUUAGACGACAUGUUCAAGUGCUUCUCUCUAGGUAAGGAAACAUGCAGGCCUACAUGCAUGAUACCACUGAGAACAGCAGCAAACAUAUGACCACAGCAAUGAUCUAAAUCUUCGUUGAUCUCUUGCAGGAGAAUUUCCAAGGAAAGAAGGGUGCAGUGGAUCAGAGUACGCCAUCACUUAUGAGGACAAAGAUGGAGACUUGAUGUUGGUCGGAGAUGUUCCAUGGGAGUAAGCAUCUCAUCUCCUUUCUUUGAUAUGCUGCUUGUUUCUCCCUUCACUUAACUGACAGGCAUCUCUUCUUCCAUUUGGUGUGUGCAGGAUGUUCAUCUCUUCUUGCAGAAGACUGAGGAUAAUGAAGGGAUCUGAAGCCAGAGGAUUAGGAUCAAGACAUUAACAAGACAUCAUCUCAUAAGAAUGAGAUCUUUUUUGCUUGGAUUGUUCCAAGUUCAUGAGACUGCCCAAAGAAGGAAGAAGUGAGAGAAUGUCUGGAAAUAAUGGAUAUCUGCCAAAUGGAUGAUAAUAUACUUGUUCUCCAUGCAAUUGUACAGAAGAAGUUUGCUUGCUUUUAGUUUCAUGUCGAGAGAAGAUUGUGUUUUCAAGUUGUUGUUAGCAAUCAAAGGCUUGUUGUUUAUGAAUUCCUAUAUUAUGUAUAAUAACCUGAAACUGAGGAAAAGAAAAAGGAAAAUUCGCCUUUCUCUCUCUCUCUCCCCCUCUUGUGUUGUUAUGACAUCUCCAUCUUUUUUAUAUGAAUCUUGGAUCCAGAAGGAGCCAUACAUAUAUAUAUUUUCCUUCCAAACCAAUAUAACAUGCAAAAUUAUGUAUCACUUGAGGAAAUUUUUAUCACCUUCAAUGUUAUUGCAAGUAGGAUGAUGGGUGAGAGAGUGAUGAGGUGAAGCUAAAGAGACUUGGUGGGUGACAAGAUCUGAUAAGACUAGUCCGAAUUCCAUGAAUCAAAGGCGCAAGGAAUAAGAUUUCCGACAACCCGCAUGUGAUACACAUGGCUGAGAUGUUGGGAGCUCCCACUUAUGGCAAAAUUUUCCCAAUUUUAGAGGGAACAAUUUUUAGAGCCAAUAUAAAUAUAUGGAAACAUUAUGCUGGAUUUAUUGAUUAUUAUGAUAAAAUUUGUUGAUUGUCUAUCAUAAAGAAUUCGAUUAGAUUUAUGUCUAAAAAGCUUAAAGGGCAAGUCUUACCAUCUCCUCUUAAUAAAAAAAAUUGAUUGGGUUAUUAUAAUGUCACGAACGGUCAUCGCACACCCGCAACAACUUCGUUUAACGAACUGUUCAUCGCUCUCAUCUACAUGUACAGCUAUUUGGUAGCAUGUUUUGUCUUGGUUUUGAGUCAUUUUACUUGUAAAAAUAUAAAUUCGAACAAGUUGUAGCGCUAUAAAGCGACCGCUCACCGAACCGAACAAAACAGUCCCAAAACAACCCAAAACAGCUCUGUUUUCAUGUGCCAUGGGUUGUUUUCUGCAUUCCGCUUCCGCUCACUAAAACAUCAGCUAUCUCAGCCCCUUGGAACCUCCCGGGUGGCACAAGACUGGAUGGGGCUACGAUAUAAUAUCGGGUGUUGAACAACCUUUCGCAAGUUCUCACGUUACCUUGACGGGAACUUGUUGCUGCGCCCGGCACCCGGUGAUAGCUGUUUGUGGACUUGCAGCUGUUCAUUCAACCUUCUAAAGUCCUUGUUUUCCCUCUUUCCCUCUUUUCUCUUGUGCACGCAAGGUGCUAGCUGAAUUGCUUGUAAAGCUUCCCCUUUUCGCGAGACGUUGGGACUUGUUCGUCGCUCAUUCUUCGAACUAAUCAACUUUCUCUUUUACAGGUCCUUCGGGACCUGCAAGAGGUUACAAGUGGGCUUAUCUUUGUGGACGCAAAUUGCAAGGGCGAAGCGCGACUUAGACAACGCAAGCUAAGUUCGCGUCUUUACUGCAUAGGGUGCUUCGCGACUUAGGCAAUGCAAGCUAAGUUCGCGUCUUGACCGCAAUGGUGCCUCAUGCCUUAGGCAAUUCCAACNNNNNNNNNNNNNNNNNNNNNNNNNNNNNNNNNNNNNNNNNNNNNNNNNNNNNNNNNNNNNNNNNNNNNNNNNNNNNNNNNNNNNNNNNNNNNNNNNNNNNNNNNNNNNNNNNNNNNNNNNNNNNNNNNNNNNNNNNNNNNNNNNNNNNNNNNNNNNNNNNNNNNNNNNNNNNNNNNNNNNNNNNNNNNNNNNNNNNNNNNNNNNNNNNNNNNNNNNNNNNNNNNNNNNNNNNNNNNNNNNNNNNNNNNNNNNNNNNNNNNNNNNNNNNNNNNNNNNNNNNNNNNNNNNNNNNNNNNNNNNNNNNNNNNNNNNNNNNNNNNNNNNNNNNNNNNNNNNNNNNNNNNNNNNNNNNNNNNNNNNNNNNNNNNNNNNNNNNNNNNNNNNNNNNNNNNNNNNNNNNNNNNNNNNNNNNNNNNNNNNNNNNNNNNNNAUAUAGGUUGUAGCAAGUAAAAUCAUUUGAAAAGGCAAAGCCAUCUUCUUGUGCUUGGUGAAUCCUAGCAUUACUUCUCCAUGAACUCAUAAGACUAAAAGCUCUUGUUUUAUUACUCCAUGAUGUAUCUAAAUGCCCUACAUGCUGACAUGUUGUUCCUUUAUCCAAAUGUUUUAUUCACUUAACAUCAUUGUAAUUUAUUUGAUCAAUCAAAGUAGUUUUCUGAUGCUGCAUUUUCACCCAUGAGAACUUGGGAAUAUCUACAGAUCUUGAAGAGGGAAGAAUGGUCCCAUAAAACAAGACCAGGUGUGAUACAAAUACAAAGCUGCCCAACUAUCCAUAACCAUGUCUCUCUUACCACCAAUUCAACAUACUACACUGGCAGCAUGGGCAUGUACCUAACACACAGGAAAAGUAGGCAGACCCAACUCAAACUGCAUAAAUAAAAUAGUAUCAAGUGCUUCAGACAAGAGGAAGGAAACUUCUGCUCAAGACCUCACUCAUCUCUUUCCACACCAUAUUCAUUGGUAUGUGAAUGAGAAGAAAACUAGGGAGAUUCCAGGCAACAACCAACCAUGUUGCUAAAACAUGCCAGCUUUCUGACUCCCUUCUUGUCUCCAGCAGAUCGAAGAUUGAUCGCAUUUGAUCCACAUUCAAUGAACUUAGGAGCUUUAGCAAAAAUAGAAAAGACAGUUCCAUGCCUAAGAUUGCUUCAUAUGACAUCACUUUAGUUUAGAAGAAGUCAAGGAAGAUGUAAUAUAUUGCCAGAGAAGGAUGGUCUGGUAGCAUUAGGCAGGUAGCAUUGCCAGAGUCCCCAAUAUCUUAGAAACUUCACUCAUGUCUUCCUUGCUUCAAAAAAAGAUUGCUUUGGUACUUCUUCUUUCAUGCGUAGCAGUUCUUUCUAAAUGUCAGAAAUAUUAAGUCCCAAAAAUUGAUCUCAUUUGAGAGAACACAACUUCUAAGUUGGGAAAAUGAGAGUGCAUUUGACCAUGACUAGACACUGACCCUUUAGAGAUUAAUUCCAUGCUUAAGAACAAGAUUCACUAAGAACCUUUGUCAAGAAGCUCAAGUACAGCAUCAGAACCAUUGAAAGAUCAGAUUUUGGCACUUGGUCAGGGAAAUACACAAUCAAGAAAGAUUAGUAAUAGGCUUGCUAAGUGUUGUCUAAAAAUUGCAAGCAAUUUGGUACAUACAUACAUACAUACUAAUUUGCAACUUAAUGAUUCUUAUUCAAUUGCAAAUGUAAUUUAGCUCAGAAGUUUCCUGCACAUUUCAAUAAAUGGCUCAAGCAAACAUAAGUUUGCUAUGGUAGACAGACAUAUAUUAAAAAAGAUAUAUUGGGCACAGAUUUAAACAAAAGCAAUUACAACAUCAACUAAUCCAGAAAAUUUGUGCUUUACAAAAAUAUGUGAUGCAUAAUACCUAAUAUUUGUAUAACAAACAACAAGUGUUAAACCACUGUAGAAUCAACUUCAUAAACUCCCUGUAUUUUCAUAGUAUAUAGACAAACUACAAAGCUAGAAAUUAACAUUAUCCUAUGCAUACCAUAGGCACCAGUAUAAUGAGACAAGGAGCCCUUGAUAUCAAGAGGUAAUGAAAGAAGUAAUCUUAUAUCCUUAACAUCCAAAUGAAUCUAAUGAACCAACAUAUUAUUCCUUUCUUAGUCGUACAAACAUAUCAUAAUGCUGGCCUAAAGUAAAAUUUAUCCUUAUUUUACAAUUUGAUCAUACAAAAUGCAUCUGCUAAAAUUUAAGUUUCAACUACAAUUUAAAUUAGUGGCUCUGGUCCCCUGUUUUGUCGCCCGUUUUGUCAGAGCAUAUCUCAUCACUGUGGAGUUGAUGUCAGAUCAUUGCUUGUGGAACAAGUUGGUAAGCCAUAAUUUAUCAGCAAAGAUGCUAAAUUCUCAACAAUCAUUCAGAAACUCAUCUCAGCCGAUUUCUUGUAAGAAUCCUGAAAACUCAAUCCUUCAUCUGGUCUUCACUCGCAAAGCAAUAAACCAUCUGGUGUGGAAUUUGACCUAAACAAAUCUCAUAUCAGCUGGUAUCCUCAACUGGAUGGGUGCCUUGAUUACUAUCGUUGUCAUCUUUAUUAUCUGAAAGAUGAACUACUUUCAAGUCCUUGCUGAGUUCCUGAGUGUUAUUGCUACCAUCGUCACUUCCUACUGGUUUCAAGCUUGGAUUAGUAACAACAACAACAUCAUGCCUCUGAGGUUGACUAGCAUCACUGCUGUAAGUAUUUUCUUCAUCUUCACUAUAUGAUAUGCCAAACUUCUGCCCGUGGGUCAAUCCUUGACAAUGUCCCUGUAAAAGAUGCAAAAAAGCUAAUAACAACGAUAGCAGGAAGUAUAAAGCAAGGUAAUCUGCACCAUCUUGUAGCCAUUAAAUUACAACUGCUCCAAGUCAUUCUGUGCAAGGAUAUCAGGAAUAGAACAUGGUUUCAAUGGAGAUUUAAAAUGCCUGAUAUGAUAGUUGGUAGAGCUACAUAAUUCAAGGGCAAAUAAGUGGAUGCUCACGGCUAGUUGAGUGAAGUAAAAUGGGUUGGUUCCCAAGUGUAUAUGGCCUGGAUGUCAGAGUCACACUUCUUUCAGCUAGUGAGGUACUUGAAUGUUCUUGAACAAGGAAUUCUUUGUAGAUGUUAAGAGUGCCCUAGAAGUCACAAUAGGUGGCCAAGUAAUGUUCACCAAAUCCAUUGUGAAGGAUUCAUAGUUUUUGUUGAAAUCUGUAAAUGCAAUCUCUCAAGCCCCAUUAUCUAUUUCCUUUCCCCCCUACAAACCCACUCCGCUCUCCCCUCAAAUGCCUCACCAAAACAAUUCACCACCAUUGCAGUCCCUCUCUGUCUUUGUUCCUCAGAUUUGAACAAUCCUUGGUCAGUCAUUGAGACGGUUCCUUGCCUCACUCUUUCUUCUCUUUCCCAGGUAUGUCCUCUCUCCUCCUCCCCACUUGAUACUACAGCCACCAACUCCCUUGGCAGCUCCUUGUAUAUAUCUCCCUCCUUUGCUCCUCUCCUCUUCAUCUCGUCUCUCUCUUCCUACUCCAUUCACCUCUCUUCCAUCUAUAAUCAAACAUGUGAUAAGAAUUUGAUUUAAAGGGUUUCCUUUGCUGUACAGGCACUUACACUCCAUCAGGUGCAAUUUUAAUCACAAUGGAAAGAAACCAAACAAAUCCUGAGAGAACCAUAUUGCAUUGUCAGUUAAUAUAGUUUUUUUGUCAUUAUUUUAACACACUAUGUAAUACAGAAAAACUCAAUUUCUUAGACAUGCCAUUGCCAUGACAGAUAACAUUGUGAUAUGUCAUGUCAUACCAACACAAGGCCAUGCUAGAAUGGGAAUUUGUGAGUAUGGCACCAUCCCAUGCCGAAAGAUAUUGGCAUGCCAUAUGUUAUGAAACAACUGUUAUUGCUAUAUGCCACGUAACAGUAACAAAACUUCUAUGACAUUAAGAAUCUUAAGCUUUCACCACGGAUCUACCAUAUAUAUCACUUUAAGAGGACUGGAAUUAAUGUGACAACUUAUUUAAAGAUCAAAAUCCUCUUUCUACCCUAGCUUCUAGAUUAUAGUCUUCAUACCUUGACGAAACCUGAAGCUGAAAAAGAAUCCUGGAUUUUGGGCUGAGCAACUGAGGAACUAAAAAAUCCAUGAGAAUGAGUGUCAUUUGUUUUGUGAUGAUUAAAUGAUGUCUCAAAGAUGCCAUAUCUAUUGUUUGCACCAUCUUUGCAAAAUGCACCAAAAUAUGAGCAGUGUUCAUUGACCAAAGAUAUUUCUGGAGUUGCAGGCAAGAAGUGACCUUCUGUACUAAAUAUGUACCUGCACUUCAGAAAACAAUAUUUGUUAACAAGCUAAGCUUUGAUUUCAAUUACAAUAUGAAAGCUGCAGAUAAUGGUCCUUACUUAUAUGGCCCAUUCUCAACAAUGUUGUCCGGACCCACAGAUAAAUCAAAAAGCAGCCAAAGAUAUUUGACCUGGAAUUUAUUACUGUCAGAAAUGAUGUAAAGGGGCAACUCUCUACAUAGAGAUUAAGUUGAGCAAAUCAAUGAAAUGGCUGUAAUGCACACUAAGGUUGGUUUGAAGUAUAGAUCCAUGAAGCAAAUAUUCAUUGGAGAUGCCGAUUAAGGUUAGACAAAAAAUUAAGCACAGAAGGCUAUUCUUAAACCACAAGACCCAAUUUGGCUUCUGCCAUGAUAUUCCAAUAUUUCACCAGCACCAUCAUCCUUUAUGCUAAAAAUAAUAAGUGAGCCGAUCUUUACUGUUUCAGCAAGGAAAAAACUCUCCAUAUGAUCAUCCUGCUCGUGAGACUCUACAUCAGCUAUAUGACAAUAUCCACAAGGACACCUGGCACCAUACUGAAGACUUGCCACAAUGUCCCGUCCAACAUCAAGAUACCUGCAUUAAUAUCUGAAAUUUUAAACAUAGCUAAAUUAUAGAAAAUAAAUCAACACUAGUUCCAAGGAAAUGU